Molecule: non-coding RNA, 70172 nt
Organism: Podarcis lilfordi (Lilford's wall lizard)
Lineage: Eukaryota; Metazoa; Chordata; Lepidosauria; Squamata; Lacertidae
Source: the annotation of a GenBank genome assembly
GGAACCGCCAGAAGGCCCUCGGCGCUGGACCUCAGUGUCCGCACAGAACGAUGGGGGUGGAGACGCUCCUUCAGGUAUACUGGGCCCAGGCUGUUUAGGGUUUUAAAGGUCAACACUAACACUUUAUAUUGUGCUCGGAAACGUACUGGGAGCCAAUGUAGGUCUUUCAGGACAGGUGUUAUAUGGUCUCGGCAGCCGCCCCCAGUCACCAGUCUAGCUGCUGCAUUCUGGAUUAGUUGUAGUUGUAGUAGCCCCACGUAGGCCAAGAAGCCUUGAAUUUCUGUCAAAAAAGCCAGUCUAAAGGUGGUGAUGUUCUUCACAGAGUCCUUUGUGGUCACAAUAGACUAUCUCGUUUUCUUCACCCGUGAUGCUUUCCCUGAAAGAUUCACUUAUGGGGGGUUUUUUUCUUUCCUUCAGCUCUAAUUAAAGCUUAAUUUCCCAUAACAACAAUAAGAGUUCCCAGAAUUGCAUCAUCUUAGUUGUGAGGUAAAUAUUGAUUGCUGUUCAUAUCCACACCACACUCUUAUAACUGCAUUAAAUAUACAGAGAAUGGUCACAUCUAACAUCCAUUCCUUGACUGGAGGCUGCUGCUGCCAGUGUUUAAUUGGAUUAAACGCUUCCUCAUCUCUUCUUUGAUCAGGGUCUCUGAGUUAAAUCCAGUAACUCCUCAUGGGGUCCCUGGAGCCUUCCCUCACCUGGAGCCCUCUGGUUAUUUUGGACUACAACUCCCAGCAGCCCCAAUAAGCCAGCAUGGUUGUGGGUUCAGAGCAGUAUCCAACUAAAUUUUAUUUAUUUUUAUUCAUUAAAUGUGUAUAAACUGUACUUUCAUAUAAAGUGUCACAUGGUGGCAGGGCUUUUUUUCUCAGCCGGAACCCAGUUCCGGUACCGCUCAGGUGGGCACCAUUGCCAUUAUAAGACAACAAGAACUCAACUGUCCUGCUUUUACUGAGAGAUCACAUCUUAAAGAAUCCGCCCCGGCUUCUGAUUGGAUCUGGGAGUGUCCCAGGAUCCACGUGUCUUCUCUUGAGCAGCUAAGGAGGCCUGCCUCUGUGGUGCUGCUCUGCCCAGAAAAGGCCUGCCCAUGUAGCACUGUGGCGCUCCGAGAAGGCCUGUCCUCACAGUGCUGGCCGAUGGAGGCAGCAGCAAUGAAGAGAGAGUAAGGUAAGACAGCUUCCAAAAUACCAGUUGAAUAAGGUUGAUUUGCUUGACUGACAAUGCCAGCGUAGCCUCUCCUUGAGCCUUAUUAGAAAUGUGCUAGAAUAAACUUUGGGGAAAGAGUGUGCUCUCUGGAUUUUCAAAUUCAUAGCUUGAGACAGUUAUUGGCCUUUAAUAUAUUCCCCAUGGGCCAUAGAUAAAAUGGAAACAGGAUCAUUUUGUUUUGGAUCCCCAAAGGAAGCAAGGGGGAGGGAAAAUCUUCUGAAAAGCAUUGAGGUGUUUCCAAAUAAUCACAUGUUUACCCAAAAAGCGCAGGGAGAUUCUCCUCAGAAGGGAGAUUCUCCUCAGCUAGGUAUAGAGCUAUAAGGUGCUCAAGGGAUACACUCUCUCUCUUUCCCUCUCCUUUUUAUGGUUGAUUGUUGGACUCUGGUUUAAGAUUCUGUGGUUGACUGUAGGACGCUUUGAAGCCCCUUGCGCUCACCCCCCCCAAAGGUGCAGCCCCCCAAGUGCUUUUUUCAGAAGGAAAAUGCACAAGAUCACGGCUACCAAAAUGGCUGCCAUUCUCGCGCGAUAAAAAAAUGAGAUGUCCCAGUUUUUCUGGGACACUUGCAGGGUAUGACGUGGUGACUUCCUCAUGGCUAUGAUGUGACACGUACAAAGACUCCUAGUUUUUUCCAGAUUACUGAAUGAGUUACAGUGCCAACCAUUGGAAGAAUUGGCUUCCCCAUAGGACCUGGAGGGAAGGAAGCCCACAGGGAACCAUUGAGAAAGCCGUCAGGCUGCGUCUGAGCUGAGAGCAGAGUGAACAGCGACAGGGAUUUCGGUAGCAGGCCCCAAAGUGAUGUUCUCCCUGCCCUAUAUCCUCUGCAUCUCCACCCCCACUGUGGCAGCUGGCCAAAUCUGGCUCAGCCGCACCAACAUUGUGGAUGCCCAGGCAGGCCUCUCAUUAUGCUACAAAUUGUGUUUUGUGCCUUGUUUGAAUGCUCUCGAGUUAAUUUGUUUUAUGUUCAUGUUAAGCACCCUUGUACCACUAACACAGAGGAAACUGCCGCUUGCAACGGCGCCUGGCCUUGUAAAAACCAGGACACUCCGAAAGUUGUUGAGCUUUUUUUUUUUUUUUUACGGAUACACAAUUUUCAGGACAAAGCGCCACCUGUCAAUUCUGCCUUUGAAAUUCCAGUAAUGUCCAGGAAAAUCCGGAAACAUGGCAGCCCUAGUUCUACCUUGUCGUGCUGGUAUAUUUUUGGAUCAUGAUUCCUUUAAAAAACAUGUUUUCUAUACUUCCAGCCUUUAUUGAUCUCCAUUCAGUUGUUGCUGUUGUUGUUGAAGCAUCAACAAACUUUCCAGGUAGAGGAGGGGGAAUGCCUGACUCCACUGGUGGCACAGUUUCUGUGGAGAGCCCAGCUUGCUCAAGGACUCAGCCUUAUACUCUCUCACUCUGUCCUUGCUGUCCUCCUCCUUUGCUAAUCCAGUGAGGCAGAAGAAGGAAAAAGCUGGAGGCAUGAGUGUAGAAAGAACUGGAAAUUGUUCCUAAAACACAUGGGGAAUCUCACAAGUCCUUGAGAUUGUUUCAGGAGGGGAACAUUAACUUAGCUUACAGCAUUCCCACAUAAAACAAGGGGGACACAGGCAAUUUUCCAUCAGUGGGGUUUUUAAUUUUUUGUUACUUUUCUAAGCAACAAAAAAAGACAGUACUCACAAAAAAGAAAAAAUGGACAUUAACAACAAAAUAAUAUAAAUACAACAUAAAUACAACUAUUUGUGUUAAAGUCAAAAGAAAUAUAAAAUAUCAGGAAUAAAUGAACUGGGUAAAAUUACAAAAUUGUAAAAUUAUAAAUGGCGUAUAAAAAUACAACUUACAUUAUACAACAAAGGAAAUGGGGUAGGUGAGAAGAAAGGUCUUGCCUGUUUCCAGAUGCUGCCAAAUAAAAUAAUAUUUUGAAAGGAUUUGCCACCCGUAUGACGGUGUUGUCAUAUAUUUAAUAAAUAACCCCCAAAUAGAGGCAAGGAGGUUUUUCAAGCAUGCCCAACCUGCCUGCCUCUAGGGAGCUGCUUCUUUUUUUACUCCUUGCUAUAUUUGAACUGCAGCAGCACGUGGGCCUCUGUUUUGUGUGCUCAUCUUUUUUCGGGUGUGUGUGCAUGUGUUUGAACAUAUGUAUAAAUUAAGUGUAGUGGAAUAUUGGCUCAGCCCGGGAAACACAAGGGAGCCACAUGCUCUGCCACAGCGUUGGCUGUUGCUGCACCAAAGCAAAAUUCUUCUGCUACAGAAGGCAGCCUGUUUUGCAGCUGACUCAUGGCAAGUUGCCGAUUCUUGCAGGACAGAAGGUGCACCAACACAAAAGGACAGUGGAGAUAAGUUGAUUCUCCUACUGGCCUAUAUCACUGCUGCAAAAAUUACUGCACAUUUGGCAAAGAAACUAGUUUGAGCUCUGCUUCUUUGCCAGCAUUUCUAGGGAGCUUGGAGGAGCUCACAUUCUGAUCCAGGAAACUAUAUAGAACUCGGCGAAAAGCAGAAUUGUAGAGAAAAUGAGCAUGUUUGUUUUUUGGCCAUCUACUUGUUAUUUCCAACUGCAGUUUAUAGUAACCUCUACACUGUACAUUUAAAGCACUCUUAUACCGCUUUAACUGUUGGUUCUCUGCCCAUAAAGAAUCAUGGGAACUGUAGUUUGUUAAGGGUGCUGGGAAUUGCAGAUCUGUGAGGGGUAAGUGAUGGCUCCCAGUAUUCUUUGGGGAAAUCCUUGACCAUUAACGUCUGUGCCUGGACCAGCAACUCCACAGAGGCUUACAGUGAAUGUUGCCUUGGGCAGCAGUGAACACCAAAGGCAAUGUCCUCUGGGAUUGUCUUCAGGAGACACGGCAGAGGAUGCUAUCCCCUGGUAUGGCUAACUGCUGGUUGGACUGAUUCCUGUGUGAGAACCAGGAAUAACCAGGAGGGUGUGAAUGUACCAAACCCAGCCUCCUGGUGAGAGGCAGAAGGAUGGCAAAUGGUGAUCUGGUGAUAGCAUGAAAACUAUUCAUGAGUACAUAUGAAGGAUACUUGGUGGGUGGUAAUAUUGUUGAGGGACUGAACAGUUACCCUGCGACCCAAGGGGGGGGGAUAAUAGCAUCAUGUGCCUGAGAACAGUGGGGUGGGAAGAUUAGAGUUCUAGGGAACUGGAGGUAUGGAAUGUGUAGGGUAUGCAAUAUAGAAGAGUGGGGAGUAGACACUUGACACUUGUUGCCCCUGCUCAGCCUCACUGCAACCAAAACUUCAGUAGCCAUGCUGGUUUGCUCUCCCAACUGGCGGUGCUGUUACACUUGCUAGGUCAGUCCAUAAUAAAAUAGCCUUUAUCCACAAUUUGAUUGGGCUGAUUUGGUAUGUAUUAUAGAGACUUAGGUGAGUGAGCUGGAGAGUCCUGAUCAUACCAAGCUUUACUUGCCUGGGCAUUCAGGGCAGCACAGGUCAAGGUUGGAGGGGUGAGAGAGAGGUGUGGCAGAGACAGAUCAGGGAUCUUGGUGGACCAUCCAUCCUGCAGUUCAACCACAUCCUGGAUUGAGCUGGCAAGGGAGGUCUGUGGCAUGAUGGUGGAGAACUCCAUGAUAUUAGUUCCAGAGGACUUCAGUAAAUAUUCUGUGAGUGUGCUUGCCACCCUGGGCUUUUUUGGGAGGAAGGGCAGAAUAUUUAUUUCAUUUAUUUUAUUUCAUCAAAUUUAUACACCACUUAGAAGAAACAACCUCAAAGCAGUUUGCAAAAGAUAAAAUGGUUAAAUCAAGAAAAAGUCACAACCAUACUUUAAAACAUACAAAAGUUAAAAUACUAAAACAGGUUGUUAAUAUGUCAACUUUCUAAGUAUCUGGGUAGACUUGUCUAAACAGGAAUGUUUUUAGCAGGUGCUGAAAAGUACAGUGAUAUUGUCUGCUUGUUCUCAAUAGGCAGGGAGUUCCAAAGUGUAGGAGCUGCCACAUUAAACGAUUCAAGUUCUUACAAAGGCAGAAUGAGUAUAAUGUGGCACCUGUAGUACUGCCUAUUUUGCUGACUGAAGAGGUUGGGUGGGCAUGGGUGGGGUAAGGGUAGGCAAACUGGUCCCAAGCUGUUAAGGGUAUAAUAAUAAUAAUAAUACUAAUAGCCAGAGAUGGGCCAUCAAGGUGGAAACAGGGUGGUGAUGGUCUUUCCUCAGCCCUUGACUCCUCCAUUUACAGAUGAUGGCAGAUGGGGGAAGACUGAGCAAUCUUAAAGGGAGAGCUGAACUUUGCCAUGCUGAGCACAACGGCAACGCUCCCCACUCGUGUCUCCCAGCAACUGGAAUAAUUCCCCGGCAUUCUUCCUCAGAUCCCGGAGCAUGUUUGCAAAUGCUUGUAACCAAGGUGGUGGUGGUGGGGAGAGGGGUGCUGCGUCCCUUUAAGCGCCUCCCUUCCUCCCCUCCUUCCUUCAAGUAGGGUGAGCGUGGUUUGUCUUUUUGCGACAAGUGCCCUUACAGAAAGCACCACUUGGCAACCAACUUCACAAAUUCCUUCCUCUUUGCAGAGAGCAAACUUGCUGCUGUUGCUUUUCAAUGAGGUCCUUUGAUUGCUAUUGAGCCGCUUGCGCUGUUGCCAGAGGCGGCCUGGCUUUAUGCAAAAGGCUGGCUAAUUGUGCUACUUCCCUGGGCUGCCUUUGGAACAAUGUCUCUUCCAGCUCUGAAGCAGCGGAUCGCUUUUCAUGCCUUAAUGAGCAGAGGAUCCGGGCAUUAGAUCCAGAGCCAAUUCAUGCAUUAAAGUCUUUCCAGGCCCCCCAAAUAAGGUUGUCUUUCAGAAUUACAUUUGGAAUCAAAAGCAAAUAGCAACUCCGAACCCCAGCAAGUGCAUGCGUAUGUAUGUUCACUCUGUCAAGAUUGGAGCCCCAGAAAAAGCUGGGCAGGAUGUAGCACUGAUGAAUCAGGGAAACAACACAAAUAGCAAACCAGUCUGCCUACAAACUUAUGGGGGUGGGUGUUAGUUUUUUUUUUUUUUAAAAACAAGCAUUUCUGUUUUCCUGCACAGUUGAAGUAAGGACCCCUCCGUCUUUGCCAGGAGACUGGGUACGUUUGGUGGCCAGUGGUAAACUGGGAGUGGAAAUUCUCUUCUCUUUCCCCCACAACUGUUCUGUACACAAUGGGGGAGCCACAGCUAAUCUCUGCAGAGGGUGGGUGGUCUGUAUUCAGAAGGGGCUUUAGAGGCAGGCUCCAUCCCGCAGAUCAAGGAUGCUUAAUAAUUGUGCUCCUCUGCACCUCCACAACACACACACCCUACCCCGAAAGGCAAAGAAAAAGCCAGUGAACGUGUCAGAGGCAGAGUGCGAAUGUGGAGAAUGGCUGGAAAGUCUGGAAGAAUCUCUGCAUUAAAAGCAGAAGAUACAUUCAAACAAAAUAGUGGGGGUCUUUACUGAAGCGGGUGGCGGCUCUCUUCUUCCUGAGAUGCUUUGAAGCCUCUUCUUCACUCUUGUAACCUCCUGAUUUGGCACGAACGUGGCCAUUAUUUCGUACGGCAAGGUGAAAAUAAUUUUUAUUUCUUUCUCCAUCACUGUCCUUUCCCCACUCAGAUGAUAGAUUUGCCUGAGAGAAAAUAAUGGCCUGGCAGUUGGGAUGCAGAGAGUGAGCUGGCUGAGCAGGCGGGGGGGACGGGGGACGGGGACGACGACACGUCUCUGUACCUAUUAUGGCAAAAAUCGAUAAUGCUUUUUGUAAAUUGCCCCUCCCAGAGGAGUUGAACAAAUGCUGGAGAGAAAGGAAGCCAUCCUUCUGUGUGAAGGCGCCUCUGCGUUCGGACCAGGACAAUAAUUAUCAGUAGCCCUCUUCUUUUGGCUUGCUUUUAUUCUGAGGGCAGGCCAGGAAAGAGAAGGUCUUCCUUGCUCUUCUACUGCUUAUCUAAUUGCAGCAUCUGUGAGCGUAUCUAAAAUAGGUGACAACCACUGCAGGCAGUUUCCAAGGGGCGCCCUGCAAAUGGAAGCGGCUGGUGGUCCCAGAGGACAAUCAGAGCGCUCUGAUUAAUUGCUUUUGACAAAUGGCAUUUUGAUCUGAGACAGGCCAGGCCCUCCCCUCUUGCAGAAGCAAAACUUCUGCCUGUUGAAUGGGAAGUCUUUCGUCUUUCCAAACUAUAGAGGCAAAGGCUGAGUUUGGGUGAACACAGAAGCUACCAACAAGGUGAUCCUGCCCUCAAAGAGGGAUCACAUGCAAAGUACUUUGAAACAGCCACAGGAAAAAGCAAUAUAAAAAUGUUAUGAUUGAUACACAGCACAAAUGCAUUGGGUGCUUGCAGAAGGCAUGUGGUGAGAUCAGUGGGGUGGGGCUCAGCUUGUCAAUUCUGCAUCCAGCAAGGAUGUUGUCAGUCAGAUCCUGCAGUGUGACAGCAAGCUGUAGGGACCUGUAGACACCCAUUUGUCAGGCCGAAUUCAAAUGAGCAAGGAGUCAUCAAAAUAUGUGUGCUCAACAGAACUCUCUGAGUCUGGGGUUUUGCUCAGUUUUUUUCUGUCUGUUUCCUUGUUGUUCAUUUGGUAAAAGUUUCUGUUCACAUAGACCUGUACAGGGCUCUUAAAAAUAUUCAUACCUAAAUAACAAAAUGCAGCAUUUGUGAUACUGCUCUGUGUGUGGGUGGGUGUGGGGGCGGUGGCAAUGCUAUAUCACUGGUGGGAAGGUCUUCCUGUGGGAAAUUUGUGCUACCACAGCAAUUUCCUGGGUACAAGGACCUAUGGGAGAGGCAGUUCCCAUGGUUUCUGACAAGAUUAUUAGGACUCAAGAAAAAGAAGCACAUUUCCGCUGCCCCUCAAUUCUGGGCACUGUAGUUUUGAGCAGUUGCUAGGAAUUGUAACUCUGUGAGGGGUAAAUUGCAGUGCCUGGAAUUCUUUGAGGGAAAGAAUCUACUUCAAAUGUGCUUUAAAGGCAGAAUGUAUACACAGCCCGAAUGGCAGCAUCCUGAUCAUCUGGCUCAUCCUACCAGCAAGGCUGAGGAGCUGUCCACUAGGUUAGGGACCAAAGUGUUUGCGUUAGCAAGGGAACUGUCCAACUACUGAGAGCGGAGCAGUACGAGGUGUUGUAUCAGCAACUGCUAGGCACCAGUUUAGGAGCUUUAUAGCUCUCUGUCCUGUUUCUGGGGUGUUAGCAGGGCCUUGAUCCUGAGCACAUGUUGGCUCUGCCUCUGUCUUGAGUAGAAUGGAUACCUUAUCCUGUCAGACAGUACUUGACCUUUUGCUCUGGCCUUUCAGAUUCACUGGGUCACUGAUCUUGGAGAGUCUUAAUCUGGUGGAGUAAUAUUAAUGGUGGAUUGGAUUUCCUGAAUCUUCAGCUUCCUCAAACAUGGCAGCCCAAUGACUCCCCUUUAGCCCCAGAGGUACAGGGCUAGUGCAGGUAUCUGGACUGGUCCUGACAUGGCAGUGACAGGUCACAAGGCCAGUCACAAGGCCUCAUUGCCACUACCACCAGGGAAUUUUUGGAAUGGUGGUGGCCUUGUGAAGUUUGAAGUUGUGGUGGUUUCUUUGGGGUUAGGGAGCUCUCUUAGACCUUCCUGUUGUGCUCUCAAUGACAUCAAAAAGUGCAACAGAAUGUUAGUGGGGUGGGGUUUUUUGGGGGGGCAGGGAGAGACUUUAAUUCCCACCUGUGUCAAAUUAAGCCCAAAUUGCCUUGUGUGAAGUGAGCCCACAUUAAAUUUAGCUCUAGAGAUCUAACCUUGCCAGGCCUUUUGGCUACAAUUAUGGACUCAGUCUUAAACUGGACCCUUUGCUGGCCUUGUGGCCUCCUGCUCACCCAAUAGAAGUAUUAGUAAGGGCAAAAGAAGGAGGAGGUUGACAUGUAGCUUUAUUCACCUUCUCGACUGUUCUGGGGAAAGGGUGGGUGGCAGUGCAGCACUGAUUGGCUGGUUCCUGUGAUAUCACAAGCCUACCUUACCUGGGUGACUUUUGCACUUUUGAAGUUUGGAGUGAGAUGAGCACCGGCCAGGCAUUUAGGUCACUGGCUGCUGCCUCUGUAUUUCACAUGCAAAGAGAGGAGGAGGAGGAGGAGGAGGCUGCAUUCAGUACUAUGUAACAAAAGGGAAAAAAUGGUGACAACUGUUUUAUCUCUACAUGUGUAAUAUGCCAUCCUGGUGCCCUCUAAAUGUUUUGGAUGGCAACUCCUACCAGUACAGCACCAUCCUGGGUAGGGGACAACAGGUUGGUGGAGGCUGUGAUAUGCAGGCAGUAUUUGGAGGCAGCCUACAGGAACUACUAGGCAGAAGUUUUUGUACACGUGAUACUCUGCUCAAGCCUCAGAGAGCAACCCACUUCCCAGAUCCCUGCCUGCUUCUUCUGUGGAAGGAGAGCAAUUAACAAAAUUUGGGUCUGGUUUCUACUUAUGCUGCGUCUGUUUUCUAUGCUGGUACUGAAGUAAAAAGUGAUGAGGCUUCCCUAUGAAUAGCUGUGUUCUGCCUCCUCCUUCAAAAAGAGGGAUGGGCCUAAAGACCCAAAAUUAUUUGUUAAAACCAAUAAUCAUCACGUCAUCUUAAUGCAUGCUGACCAAGUUUGAGAUUUAUUUUAAGAAGAAAAGAAGGGGAAAAUACUUUUAGAAUCCAUUGAUAUGGCUUGUGUGUGCUGCCAGCUUUAAAUAGCUAAUCAGCGGAUCCCGCUGGAGCCCAUAAAAGAAGGUAAUUGUAGGCGGUAGGUAGAAGUCUGGCACCCCAGCGUGCCACAGGUCAGGAAAGGGCAGCAAGGAAGGCAACAUCCAUCACGCCAAGGGCGGCAUUGGCAGCGGCAGCCAGGCCUUUGCUCGCUAUGGGCUUCCGCCAGCGGCCGUCAUCCGUCGGAGGGGAGGAAAGCCUCUGAAACAAGGCUGUGAAUUGGUUUUCAUGCUUGCAUUGACAGAUUGGGAAAGCAGUUUGUUCUACCAAAUUUAACAAUGAUAUAUCAUUAUCACAACUUUGGGGGAAAUCUAUAAAAUCAAUAAGUUUGUAGCCUGAACAGGAUUUGUAUCGCUUGCUUGCUGUGCUGGUGUCAGGCGCGGGCAUAUGGAUUGAGUCACAGCCUGAGAUCAAUGGAAUUUGUGGACAGUGAGCUCAAUAACAAGCCCUUCUGAAAAGAAAUAGAUGUAAAAAGCAAAUUUACUAGAGUAUAAAAAAAAGAGAGAGAGAGAAGCUAAUAUCUUUUCCGUGCCUGGCUGUAAAGUGCGAUGUGGCUGCCGUCAGCUGCUGCCGGCGCUCUGCAAGGCGGCUUGGGGAUGUGCCUGCAAUGCUGAGCAAGGCAGGCUGCCGCCAGGGCCUCCUCCUCCUCCUCUGUGGGUGGAUUGGGGUCUUUCUCUUUGCAGAGCUUGGACUCGGAAGGAAGCCAAGGAGGGCCCAGGUGGAGGAGGGGGCGAUCGCCCUCCGCAUUGUAAACUGAAUAAAGGCUAAAAACAGUCAGUGUGUCUGCUGGGGAAAGACCAUCGCGGCUUUAUUUACUGUGCGCUGGCAGGGCUUGCUAAUGGAGCAAAAUAAAAAGGCAUAAUUAAAUAGUUUAAUGAAUUCGCAGUUCUUUUGUUUGUGCAGGACCGGGAAUGCGUGUUCCAGAAGGCCUCACAAAGAGCCUGGCUGGUAGUGAGUUAAAAGUAGGAAGUGGAGCCUUUGAAGGCAUUUUUAUACUUCAUUAUCCCAGCAUGUAAAAUGACUUGUACUAAACGAUGGAGGGUUCCCCGCCUCCCACUCGCCCUCUUUCUUUCUCUUCUUUCUUUAAACAAAGGAGAACAUCAGGGGGGCUGGGACAGAGUUUCCCUUCAGUGUCCAGCCGCCCACAGAUCAGCUUCCCAGCAAGCUGGUGGGUCUCUGCCACUGCUCCAGCAAUGCUAGGCUUUGGGGGGCUGCUGUGAGCAUGAGGGCCACCUCAGAGCCCCAGAGAGCUUGCAGGGGGAGCACGGCCUGCCUACCUCUUUAAUAAUAAUAAAAAAGGCUUCUCUCUCCACCCCCAUGCCCCAUUUCCUGUAAGCAGAGGGUGGCGGGCAACGGCUUCUGUUUUUUUCUUGAAGAGGUGUACUCCUUGCCAUGCCUUGAGCAAAGGUGGUAGAAGAGGGGGUUAUUCAUGGCAUCUUUUGAUCUCUGGGGCGUCAAGUGAUUAUAUGCACAUGUGAGUGUGUAAAGAUUUCAGCAGAAGCAAACUCCAUUUCAGAUUUGGAUUGGGGAUACAUUUUACCACUAGUCACAGUGAAUGAUGCUUAGUCAGAAAGGCCAUGUUAAGAACGUCAGAAGAGUCCUGAGCAGCUGAAUCAGGCCCAAAGGGGCACAUCUAGUCCUGUAUCCUCUUCUCACACUGGCCAGCCAGAUGCCUCCAUUGGGAAGCCCCCAAACCAGGGCAGGGGCACAGCAGUUGUGAAAUAAGGGCAUCCUGUGUGUCCUUUAGACCCAGUGCCCUUGUUCUGCUCCUGAAUAUCCCAUUUUCUGUUGCGCUGGCAGGGAGGGCUUGUGGUUUCACAGGAGCAGCACCGAAGAGUAAUUGAGUGAAAGGGCUGCUUGUUCAUCCACCUGUGCCUACUUGCAGCCUUUGAUUCUACCCAGAUGAGCCAAAGUCUGCAAAGCAAAUCACUCUCUGCCCAUGACUCAAGCAAGUGAGCCAAGUUACAUUCUGCAAGAAUGAUGCAGAAGAUGCUCUCCCAGUUUCAGAGGCAAGGUUUGACAGAUCAACUGCAUGAGCCAAAUCUGUUAAGAGCUGUGCCUUAGCAGAAAAGUGUGUGUUUUGCCCUAACCCAGGAACCCUGGGAUCAGGCUGGCCUUGUUUUGCAGGGCAAUGGAGGAGCCUGGCCCACAGAGGCAGCUGCCAGCAGCAGGGGACUCCCCCUUGGGGCCCGGCAGGCCAGCCAGCGGGUCGAGUGCCAUUUACAAAGCCGCCUCUAUUUCUUUACAGCUUGCUGUGGCCUAUAAACAACACUAACUGUUUGUUUCUUGUUAAAAUUUACCUCAUAAACCAAUUUUACUGUGUGAGUUCAAGCCAAUAAUUGUUUAAUCCUGCUUUUCUCAUAUCCAUAAUACAUUGACUAUAAACCUGAGGUUUCCACUUUAUAGAAUUUUCCCUUUGCUCUUUGGUGCAAGAUAUAGAGCCAGGCAGGCGUGUUGGCCAGAAUGUUAUGCAGAGGGGGGCAAAGGGGGGCUGGAGGAGGCUGGCACUCAGGAGCAGCUGGGGGGGGGGAGGAGAAGGAGGAGGCUAUCCUAAGGACCCACCAGCCAUAGGCUUCUUUGCUCCUGCAUCACUUUCUACCGCCACUGCUGCCACCUGGUAGCACAAAGAAGAGGCAAACCUGGGGAGGUGGCAAUUGGCACACACCUUUGAGGGCCACCUGGUAAUUUGCUGCCAAUGUGGACCGAAGCUCUCUGUCAUGGUGUGGGGCAGUGAAAUGCUGAGGAAGUGACUCUUUACAUCAAGUAGAGAGAGACAGAAAAUUGAUUUCUCUCUCUUUUGAGGUGGUGAGAUGUAGACUUAGUGUGACUUUGGAGGGACAAGUCUCAUCCAGUCUUCUAAAAAAAAAGAUAUCUACUUCUGUGCUCAAAGGAAGCUUCCUCCCCUGCCCCACCCCACACUGCACUCUAGCACAGAUACAUGCAAUACUCCUCCUGCACGGUGCUUUAAAGGAACCGUUGCAUUUACUCAGGUUCCCGCUAAAUGGGUAAUGGGCAAGGGUUGCUGCGGGAGGACCAUUCUGAGAGAGGGAGAGAGAGAAGGGGAGGGAGAGGAGAUAUGUACCACUGAACCCUGGAGCAGGGAGUGCACAGCUUGCCGAAACCUUUUCCAGAAUUGUUAAAGCCAGUGUUUCUGAAAUAUAUGUUGCCAUUUUUAUAUUUGGCUUUUGUUUUAAAGGGAGGUAGCAUACGCUAUCCUGCAGUUUUAUGGGGAAAGGAGGAGACCCUGUUUCUAAAGAACAAUGUAAAAUAAAAGUGAAACAAGUUGCUGUGAGGGUGACAUCGCAGGCACAGGCCAAUAGGUGCCUGCAGCAUUUGCGCAAUUGCACUGCAGACUAUUGUGCUGCUUGGCACAGUGGGGAGUGCUUAAGCCUAAGUUCACACAGGUUGCUACCAGAUGGGAAAGACACAUCAAAAAACAAAGAGUGAAGAAUGUCAUUUUUGUGGUGGAAAUUGCAGAUCCAGAAAUAUGUUAUUCUAUGGUGACACUGCCUUAUGACUCCCAUUCAGUGCUAUGGAAGGGGCUGUAGCUCAGUGUGGCAUCUGCUUUGCAUGCAUGCUGGGCUCAAUCCCAGGCAUCUUCCAUUAAAAGGAUCUCUGGUGACAGAUGGACUGUGAAGGACCUCUCUCAGCCUGAGCCCUGGACAUUGUAGACAGUUCUGAACUAGACAGGCCAGUGGUCUAGGACACUGGUAUUCAACUGGUGGUUUAGGACCCACCAGUGGGUUGUGGUCUGAUGCAAGGCAGGUCACAACAGGAACACUACCCACCAUGCAAGUGUACGAUAAAAGAUUAAGAAAUGGUUCCCCAAAUACAAGUUUGGGUUAAAAGUGGGUCCUGGGUUUGACAAGAUUGAAGGCUACUGGUCUAGGAGGAGAAAAGGCUGCCAGCUUCAUACAUUCUUAAGAAAUCCCUCACCUCUGAUGCAGGUUUCCAAUGGAAGCCUGUGGAGCUACUCUGAUCACGUAUUCUAAUUACCUGGAUUUAUUCAAAUCACAUUCCUACAGAUAUAAUAAGACAAAACAAGCCAACAUGAAUGUGCAUGGUGAUGCUUCACAUCUGCCAUAUUUCAAGACUAAAUAGUAAAUUGAAAUUGUGUUGUCCUCAUAUUCUGCUUAUUUACGUCAUUGUUUGUUUUGAUUUAUAAUCUGCUUCCAUCCACGAGGGCUGUGGGAAGGUGACAGCCUUAAUGAGCACUGAAUAUGACAAAAGAAGGCAUCAAUAUACAAAUGAGCACCACAAAAUAGUUUAUUAUGUAGAUUUAAAAGAUAAAAUAUGCUUAUCAAAUGGCAUUAGUAAACUGCUCAGAUACAAGUGUACUGCUUUAUCUCCAUGCUUGCUCAAAUGCUCUAAACUGGAUAAUCUUGCUUUACUAGUCUUAAUGGACAAGGGCUGUGUUAAUUAGCUGUGGCUAGUUGGCCACCUCAUGAGAAGAGAAGACUCUCUGGAAAAGACCCUGAUGUUGGGAAAGAUGGAGGGCACAAGGAGAAGGGGACGACAGAGAAUGAGAUGGUUGGAUGGUGUUCUUGAAGCCACCAGCAUGAGUUUGAUCAAACUGCGGGAGGCAGUGGAGGACAGAAGUGCCUGGCGUGCUCUGGUCCAUGGGGUCACGAAGAGUCGGACACGACUAAACGACUAAACAACAACAACAAAGUUAGCCUCCCAAGGGCCACCUGAGCUCUUGGAGGUGGGUCUAUCCAGGCACUGGAUUUGAUUUGACUUUGAUAUGAUUUAUUAUAUUUCUAUGCCACUUUUCAUUCAAAUGAACCCCAAAGCAGCUUACAAACAAUAAAUAAUUAUAAUAUGAAAGAACAUAAUAGAACAUCACAAAUACAGCAUAAAACUUAAAGAAUAAUUAACAAAUCAUCAGCGAAAACAAUUACAAAACUGUUAACAAAGCAACAACUAAAAAAUAAGCUAAACAUCACAAUUAAAGCAAAAGUCCUUUUAUAUGAAGCUCAAGUCACCAUGUCAGCUUUCCCAAGAUGUAUGUAGCUCAUCUCGGUCAGUCACCAGCAACAUUAUUUGGGAAACCUUCAGCAAGACAAUUGUAGGGUAAGAGCAAGAGGAAACCCUCUGAAGGCUGAGAGGCCAGCAGGGCAGUUGACCAAUGGAGCAUACUGAUCCCUGUCUACACAGAUGUGGCAGGUGCCAGAGUGUGGCGUAGACUGACUCUACCACUCGCGAGACAGAGAGUCUAUCAGACGAUGCUUCCCUUAGCCUUGGCCAUGCUUGACUUCAUUUGCUUUGGAACUGGGCAGUGGAGGAGUCAGCUUGGGGCUACUUUAAUUCCAGGAGAACAUUGAAGUAGCUGAUGAAAAUGGUUGGCACCCUCUGGGAGAUUUAAUUGAAGGGUGGCAUAAAAAUACUUAUUGUAAGAAUAAUGCAAGGAAGCAUUUUAUGCAUACAUUUAAAUCCUGCUGAUGUCUCACUCCUAAGCAGCAAACGAAGGCAAAGGGGAAACCAGAGCCGUCUGGAUAAUUCCAGGGGAGGGAGAGUGGCUGAAAGCAGCUCCUCGUUGUAGGAAAAAGAGGUGCUUUUUGCCAUCCCUCUCUCUCUGAUGAGGGGUCUUUUGCUCCUUUUCAAGGUCCUAAGGGCAAAUAGGACUGCCCCCGGGGGGGGGGGGAGAAGCACAGGUGACCCAAAGUCCCCUCCCUUUUCUGCUUUCACAUCUGAUGUGGAUAUGUUUGUUUGGAACUCCAGUCGGGCACCUGCCGUGAGCCUCCCGAGGACCAUAAAUCUCAGUAAUAAUCAUGAAAUGAUCCAGGUGGGUGCAAGGUCUCCUCUGCUUUCCAUAAGCAACCCCCCUGCAUUAUUUUGGGAAAUAGAGAGCCCCUCUUCUCUUUCCUCUCUGCUCACCCUGACCAUGCCACACUCUGUGCCAUGUUAUUAAAUUAUACCCCUUGUUUAAGAGAGGACAGCGCCUUUUAAUGAGUGCUUUAAUGUUGGCACUGCCUGUCGCUGUCUGGGGAGCCCCUAUUCUUUUCUUCCUAAUGAGGAGCACCUCAUUUGCACUGUUUCUAGAUUUAUGGAGGGACAGAAAACCCUCCAAUUUAUUACAUCUUAAAUGAACUGCUCCCAAAGCAAAAACAAAGAGGCAGUAAACUCUCCUCUCUGCGCUUUGUGGUGAGGUUUUUUAUUGAACUGUGUAGCUGCGUUCUGACUACUCUCUCAACUAGGAAGAGGAAGCUGGGGCCAUAAUUAUCUUUGGAGAACCCCACUUCCCAAUAACCCUUCUGGCCCUGUCCUCUUUGGGCUAUUGAACCUGUCACUUAGGAUAUUUUAUGGCAUGUGUGCGAGGGCGGUGGUGGGGUUUUUUUUUAAUUUGCCUAGAAGGAAAAGAGUCCUUUUCAUCUGAUACUAGAUUUGUGUGAGGGAAAAGCCAGUGAAUUUCUUGUCAUUUCCCCCCCUUUAAGCACCAUCUUUUGGGUAGGCUUUGGCCCUUUCUUUUUGUAUCCUUUUUCUACUUCAUUCUCCUUUGCUUUGGGGUACCUUCUUCCUUAAUUUUUACUAUUAGUUCUACCCUGACUUUCUAAACUGUAGUCAAGGAAGGGGUUGGCUUACAGUUGUAAAAGCAACUGAAAACAAUGCCACACCCAUACCUACAAGAAACCCAACAGGAUCUAUAAAUUGUAAAAACCGUAGCAAAAGCAAAAUGGCCACUAAAAACAACCCCCUAGGAGAAGAAGCCUGCAAAAACUAAGCUGGCUUUGCUGACCAUCAUCCAGUGAUCAGUGAAGAGGCCUGGGGGAGCUUGAGAAUGCCCUGGCCCAAAAAGUCUGGGCACUUGUCCACCCACCCCUCAUACAGUGGAGGAACAUGGACAAGGGCAGCUUCAUGAGGUGACAUUUUUAGGACAUGUUUGCCUCAUCCCAGGGCCAGUUUCCAAUCUGCACUGGCUCUGCUCCCAGGUGGCUUCAGUCCAGCACCAUGUCCCCCACGCCAACCUGCUUGUGUCUGCUCUGUGGUAGGUCCUGGACACAACAGCUGGCAACUACACUGCUUCUUCUUCUGUGAUAUAGGAACAGAGGAAGCUGCCUUAUACUGAGCCAGAUUCCUGGUCUAUCUUGGGUUUUUUUUAGCAUGGCUUUCGACACUUGAGGUGUAUAUUUUUAGGACCUGCCUUAUUUUUAUGCUUUUAAGUUGUUUUUAAUUGUUUUCAAUAUUGUGUUUUAAUGUUGUAACCUGCCCUGGAACCUCAUACUCAUCUACCUGGAGAUGCCAACUGGGGAUUGAACCUGAAACCUACUGCAUGCAAAGCUACAGUCUCUCCUCUCUCUCUAGCAUUUUAAGCAGGCAUCUCUGGGUAGGCCCAGCUAUCCCACAAUGCCUGUAGGCCAGAUCAAUUGUGGUGCCCUACGGCAGUGGAAAUCUGUGUGGGUGGCCAGAACUGGUGCUGGGAUGAACAAUGCAAAGCCCUUCCUAUCUUUCCUGAGCAUUCCUUGAGUGGCGUUCAAGGUCCCACAGAAUCUCCCAUCCCACAAAUGUCUGCUUGGUUUUAUUCUCUUGUUUAUAGUGGGGGGCAAAGAUAAUUUGUGUGCACGCAUGUACAUUUUAUUGUCCGUUCUAAAAGCCAUGUAAAUUAUUGCAGAUAAAUUCCACUUACAAAUAAUUUUUCACCUCUAAUAUUUUUUCCAUAAAUCCUAAAACCUCUAUAUAAAAUCUCUGUUUGGGUUGAAAGAAAAGAAAUUCCCACAUACCAAGUCUCCUUUUUUUUACACUUCAGAAUGUUUGCAAUAUCUGCAAUUUUAUCUUUUGAAUAAUAGUAAUAAUAAUAAUUACCUCUUAUAUUAAAUUGUAAGACGACAGGAUUCAGGAUUAGAUCCCACCAUAUUAUUCUAGUGAAGGGAAUUAUGACAGGGGUCAUUUUUUAGAAUUAUGGAGGAGGGCAAAAGGUCCUGGACAGCAUUAGAUGGAAAGGCAUUUAUAAUUAAAGUAUAAUUUAGGCCUAUGAUUUAUAGUUUUCUCAUUGAGAAGCCUGGCGCUGCAGAGAGAACAGACUGUAUAUUCUCCAGGUAUUUUCAAGUAGCAAAACCACUCCAAAUUUCUUGUUUGCUGCUCUAGGCUCCUGUGGGAAGAAGGGCAAGAUGUAAAUUCAACAACAACAAUAAAUGCGAAUGUUCUGCCAGUAUUUCCAUCAAGCAGCCUUCAGCCAGGUGGCAGUUAAAUUCCUAGCUCCUCCAGACACCCUGUUGAUUCAUCUUUCAUCCUGAUUUGCUUGUACAAUACUUACUUAGUGGUUAGGGACUGAUGUUUAUUUUGUCUAAUUUGUUUGCAGGGAGGUUGUUCAUCAGUGAGCAUCCAUCCUGAUUUGCUUGCGGGAUGUCAACACAUUUUCUAGUGAAUUAUUUAUCCAACCCCCUACUUCUCAGUUCUUUUCCCCAUCACUUUCCUAACUGCAAAAAGCCUGCUUUGAUUUAAAGUUGAUUUGUUGUGCUAGGGCAACAGAGCACUCUAAUAAACUUUAAUUGCAGAAACCUUAAGUUCCGCUACGCACUUGAAUCCCUCCUGCAAAAUAGCAACAUUCCGAAGGUGUCUCUCCCCCCCCCCCUGCCAGCAUGCAAGGGCUGUAGCUAAGGGGCUGCUUAAAACACUGCUUUGUUUUAAAAUGGUCUCUAAAGUGCUCAGAGGUGCUUAAAGCUCGGGAAAAGUGAUACUGGAGCUGCAUCUAGGGAGAUUCAGGACAGACUAAAAGAAGUACUUCUUCAAACCACACACAGUUAAUCUAUAGAACUCACUGCCACAAGACGGAGUGAUGUCCACCAACUUAAACCAUUUUAAAAGUGUAUGAGACAGAUUCUCCUUCUUGUUCAGACUGAUAACUACUAGGCUGCAUCCUAUUUGACAGCUUCUUCCUUCUCUUUCUCACACUUCUCUCUCUUACCUCAUGAUGAGAGGUCCUAUUUAACUAUCCUCUGAAAGAACAAAGGAGCAAGCAUGGCUGCCUUGUUCUUCUCAUUACUAGUUGGGGCUAGAACUCUAUCCAAGUUAUGUACGUCGUACAAUUAACAAGAAGUUUAUUAUUUUCUUGUGUACAAGCAUCUUUCUCUCUAUGUGUGUGUGAUUGCAACAAGAAGGGUCUGCUCUCUAACCAAGGUUCACUAGCUUAAAUGCUGCUCACUCUGCAUACCAAACAGGGCUUCAAUAGGUAAUUGACCCUGUUCUCCCAUUAGACAGCACUUUAGCAAUUGUUAAAAAGAAACAUGGAAGCUUACGUUUCCACAAAGAAUAAAGCAUACACGUGACCACUCCAUUGCAUCUGGCCUUCCCCCUUCUCUCUAACAAUAAUGAUGAAUUAAUUGCUGCAAAUAGAAAUUUUGAGCCCCUCCAAAGGCUACAUGCCUAUGUCCCUUUCCUGUGGGGUGGGUGGCUGGAGGCAGCUCCCCCCCACCUCUCCACUUCUCUCUGUGGCCCCUUGGAGCCUGCAUGUGUGAGGCCAAUGUUAAGCAAGGGCUGGAUCUGUUUUAUUAUGCCUUGCACAGCAUGGUGAAUGGAGCAUUUAGAGAAACCCGAGAGGGAUGAGAGGCAGGCAGGUUCUUCCGCAGAAGAGCCUUUGGCGGCCGGCUCUGCUAACGCUGCAUUCACAGACCAGGAGGGCUUGUUGCUUGAGUGCACUUACUUUAGUUCCGCCUCUCGUCCAACUCCGGGAACUUGAACUUGUCAUUAUCAGACACGGAAGGUCAAUGCAUUAAGCCACUGUGUGUUGCGCCUUUCACGCAGCCUCUCUUCCCUCUUGCUGUUUAUAGAAGGCUGUGGACAGUGUGAUACAGUUGCACUUGUCAUUUUUGGGUCUGGCUUUGCGCUGGGGGCUGGCUUGGAGACACUUAGUGAUCCUGCACAAAGACAGACGCCUGCAGAAAAACUAAUCGGAAGUGAGUCUUCUAUAAAUAAUAAACAACAAAUAGGUUCCAUUUAGUCAGAUUAACCCCCAAAUAGGUCGUGGGCAUUGUUUUCGAUGCCAACACAACAACCUAGCGAAGUCCCCAGGCACAGAAGUUGAUGAGCCUGUGCGGAUUUUCUGGACAUGGGACCCCAAAACAGACCAUGCCUAGAUUUUAUGACUUGAAAUAUUUAUAGUUUGUCUUUUGAGAUGCUGUUUUAACAUGUUGUUUAUUAUUAAGCAAUGUGGUCAAGAACUGUUUGCAACAGAAUAAGCACCUCUUAAUUUGUUCUGAUGGAACUGCACGGCAGUUGAAGGUGAUAUUGAAACUUGCGCCAUCAUCAAAAGCAGGGUGGUUGCAAUUUUAGAAUAUGUUCUCUUGAUAUACUGUGCUUUUACUAACUUGAAAGCCUUUCAAGUAACCCCAGAGACUAACUUUCUGGAAUACAACAGAACAAAUUCCAUGCUUGGGAGUAUUAGAAAAGGGGCUGAAAUGCUAGUCUCAGGGUGGCUUACUCAGGGCGGCCUAACCUGUGUGAGCACUUUGGGUAUCUCAAAAAGGAUAUCACAUAACUGGGAAAGGUGCAGAAAAGGUGCAGAAAACCUCCCCUAAGAGGAAAGGCUGAAACAUUUGGAGCUUUUUAAUUUGGGGGAGGAAGUGAAAAGAAGUUGUCUGCAAGGUUUAUAAAAUUCUUCAAGGUGAGGAGUCAGUAGAACAGAGAAAAGCUCCCCCCCUCUUUUGACACUAGAACUCAGAGUUAUACAGUGAAGUGGAUGGGCAAUAGAUUCAGAACAGACAAAAAUAAUUUAGCUAUUUCUUCACACAGUGCAUGAUUGAUUUUGGGAAUUCACAGCCACUGGAUAGCUGAAUGGAGCCUUCAUAUUGAGAAACAGUCUACCUCUGAAUUUGCAUUGCUUGGAAGAAAACAGCAAGGGAUAAGUGAUGCCUUCAUGCUCUGCUUGCAGGCUCUGUUGGUCUGUCCUCUUCUUAGAGCCAUAGAAUUGUAGAGUUGGGGACUGCAAGGCUCAUCUAGUCUCAUCCCCCAGCAAUGCAGGAAUCCCUGACUGAUGGCCAUCCAAUCUCUGCUUAAGAACCUCCAAUGAAGGAGAGUCCACUACCUUCCAAGGGAGUCUGUUCCACUGUCAAACAGCUCUUAUAAGAAAGUUCUUCCUCAUGUUUGGUUGGAAUCUCAUUUCUUGAAGCCAUUGGUUCGGGUCCUACCCUCUGGAGCAGCAGAAAACAAGCUUGCUCCAUGUUCCAUGUGACAACCCUUUAGAUUUUUGAAGAUGGUUAUCAUAUCUUUAAGAAAGAAAUUGAUUAAUUGGAACAUGUGUACAGGAGGGCAACUAAGAUGAUCAAGGGUCAGAUGAUCAAGGGUCUAGAAGGAACAGAAGGUCUAGAAGCCUUAUGGGGUACACUUGAAGGAACUUGGUAUGUUUAGUCUGGAAAAGAGGAGACAGAGAGGAGAUAUGAUAGCCAUCUUCAAAUAUCUCAAGGAGAGGUUGGUGUAGGAAGUACUCAGAUGGUGGUGGAGGAUGGUGAGGGAUGGGGGGGGUGUCAAUGCACAUGAAUCAGAGCAGCAGGACUCAUCACCGGAGCCAGAGGGGCCCCUGUCUCCACAAACGCUCUGAGGCGUAGGAAGCAGCAGGCAGAGUACUCCAGGAGGCUGAGGUAGGCAAGCGCCCACAGCCCAGCUCACUAGACUAGAUGACUAGGUGGGGCUUGCUGUCUCUGGGAGAAAGUGUGUGGUUCCUCAGCUGGAGUAGGCUUGGGACAGUUGAGGGUCACAUGCCUCAUCAAGCCCAGAUGCUGCAAUCAGCCUGCAAAGUAUAAAAGGGCAGCAGAGCUGAGGUGCUGUGUCUGCUCAUGUUGCUGGGCCUCACUUUGGAUGCUCCAGGACCAUGCUGCAGUUUGGACUUUGGACAUGUGGCUUGAUCCCAGAUUGGGGACUUGACAUACUGACUUGCUGCCAGGUAGGCCAAGAGUUAAGGACAGCUGUUUCGGGGGGGGUGCACCUUAACCUUAGCAGGUGACAGAACCUUGAUCUCUGGCUAGCCCCCUGGUGGCUCUUCACCACUGUUGUUCUUUCCUUCCCCACUUUAGUAAGGGAUUAGUUGAUUGUAGAGGAUCUACUACUGCUGUUUACCUUUGAUGUGUCUUUUCCCUUUGCUUGCUGGUUCCUUUUUUAGAAAGAGGUUUUCAAGUGGUCCUUCAUUUGUGAUUGUGUGUUAAAAUUUUAGUAUAAAAACCUUUGGAAGCAUGUGUGCCAGAGUAGGGGUGGGGGAAGCCCCCUACAUAAAAUAUGAUGUGACCACAUUGAUUGCUGCUUUCGUUAUUUAUCACCAUCAUCAUUACCAUAAUCAUUAUUCAAAGGAAACAUGGGGAAAGGCUUGGCUUAAAGCUGUCAAUGUCUUUGUCUCGUUUUGCACUGCCCAAGAAAUCUUAGGAAGGCAGCAGCAGCCCAGAUCACCUGCAACUUGGUGAAGGGGAGGGGUAGCUGCACAAAAGGCUGCAGAAAAAAGGGUCUCUCCUUUCAACAUUUCAUUUUCUGGACUGAUUUUGUGGGUCGGCUGUAGCAAGUUGCAAAUGAUGUAUGAAAUGAAAAAUUCCUGCCCAACGCACACGGUGAAUCUGGGCCACCCCUGGGCUAUUCGUUUUAAUAUUUCCUGAGAUGCAGAACCUCCCCCUUCCCAUUUUUCUUUCCAAAUUCCAGUGUUCCUUAUCAGCGGCUGCCAUUUUCCUGCUGCUGCAGCCUCUUCCUCUUCCUCCUCCUCCUCCUCCUCACAAAGGAGCAGAGCUCUUUAAACCACCUUUGCGGGAAAUCUCUCUGAAGCCUGACUUCUGUUUCUGUUGCUUUCAUUUGUUAACCUCCCUCUCACGAGAAAGUGUCACAAUUAGGAUGCACACAACAUAAUGUACAAUUGUCAUCUUGAAUUAAUUUCACUGCUGUGCCCUUUACUGCUGUCCGUCUGAUGUGCUUUGUGGACAACGGUGAAUUCUGACUGAUCUCUGUGAGCUGCAGGCCUUUGACCAAACGUGUAUGUUGACUGUGUGGCUUGUGAAGUGCUUUGUUUGAAAGAAGCAACACCUGACAUAGUUCACUCUCUGGGCAGUUUGCCCCUCACUUUGCCUUGCCACCUGUCCCAGCUUCUGAAAACUGUGUGAGUGGUCCCACAGUUACAUUAAAUGUAUCGUCCAUCAUGAACAUGAGUGUGCCUUGAAAAUGCUGCACAGCCGUUUCUCAUCAUACCAAAAUAUGCACACAUCCACUCAUGCAAACCUCUCUGUGGGUGACGGCGGUUGGUGGCCCAGGCGGCCCAAAGCAGCCUGAGCUGUUUAGAGGGGACACCAUUGUCUGCUCUGUGCUUUUAAUCUAGCCAUAAUAAAAGUGGUGCGAUUAUGCUCUUCCCAGUUUCCAGGCUUAGGAUGCAAAGAUUCCCACCCAUCUUUUGCAUCCUUUGCCUUUCUGCUUGAUGCAAGAAUGUCAAAUGUUCUCCUUGAAGAGAACAAGCAAAAUGGGAUGGGCAGAAGAGUGGUGUGCAGAAACACCUUCCCCCACCCCUGCUAAAAAAAACCCAAAUCUCUGGGCUGCAAGUGGGUUUCUGUGUGAUUUAUGAUCCAUAAGUGGAUCGGUCUUAUUAAAAUCCGCAGGAGCCUUUUGUUCAUUUUGUAGGUCUCUGGGCCAGGCACCACUCCUGUCUGUAGCAGGCCUGGUCUGCACAACAGCGUCCUCCCAGUGAGGUUUCGGGUGUUUGUUAAAUAACACUGUGGUGGAAAGCAAUUAAUUAUGCUGCUGAAAUGCAAGGAUCAUUGGCAACUGUAGCAGAUUUCUGCGUAUUAGUUUUGCUAGGCUAAUUCCCUUUUGAGGGGAAGUUAGGAGGGCAGGAGAAAAGCUAUGGGGGGGGGGGAAUUAUGUACCCUUGUUGUUCGAUGCUGUUUACCUGGAUAGGAUCUCUUCCCGUUUAGUGAUGCUGGAAUCUUUCAGUGCUGUAAGAAGUUAUUUGUAAGCUGAAUUGCUUUUCUCUUUGGAGAAUGGCAGAUUAAAAAUGGGGAGCACUGCUUCUAAGCACCCUGUGAGCCUUGGAUGAAGGGUGGUAUAGAAAUUUAAUUAGUAAAAUAGCUCAACAACUUUGGGCGAUCUCUUAAAAAAGGCUCCUCCCCAGGCGCUAGUGGGGGUCGCUGCACCGUUGACCCAGCCCAGAGUCAAGAAAUUCUGGCACUGGCCUAUUUCUAGGAGGGAGUUCCUGAGCAACCUCAGGCAGGAUAUUGCAUAUUUCUGUGUUGUAUUCUUUUCCCUGUCUACCACACUAAGCUUGACUCGUGAGGGUGAGCCUCCUCCACCACAGUAGGACUUCCGCCUCCCUCUCCUGGUGCCCAAGUGGCAAGAAAACCCUGGGUAUGGGGCUGUCCAUGAGCCCCUUUCUACAGAGCUGCCUUUGGAUUUUUGCCUUGAAUGGGAAGCAACAUGAAAUCGUUCUCUUUCAGUGCUGCUUUGUUUUUGACCCCUUCUGCGAAUUCUCAGAGGAAAGCAACAUAUUCCCAUCUUUUAUAGUAAUCAAAUUUAUCUGGCAUCUCUCGGCCUGUUGAAUUACUUAUGCUACAGUUGGCCAGCCUCGGGAAGGCUUUGGCUGGUUUAUUUAUUUAUUGUUCUAAAGUGAGGGUUUUUGACAUGAGGUCCCCACUCCUUCCUUGGGGAGUUCAGGGGGAAAAUGGAAAGUGGUUUCUGCCAUCACUGAAUGGAGGCCUGUUUUUGUAAAUGCAAAAGACAUUUGGCUCUGGAGAGGGAAGCCAAAGCUUCCAGAUCAUAUCCAUGCAGCAGGACGGCUCCCCAAAUGGUCUCAGCUUUUUCCAGAAAAAUGCCUGCGAAACAGAUGUUGUUGCUGUUUAAUUGCAGAGACAGAGAAAUGCCCAUGAAAAGGAGCUGCACAUCUUCUCCACUGGCCCUCGGGGCCUAAGGCAUUUUAAAGGCGUAGUCAAACCACUCCUAAUGCUUCUUUCUGUCAGCUAGUUUCCUCAUACAGGAGGACCACAGAGUUUGGGUGACAGGAAUUAUAAGCAGAGGACAUGCACAACACAGGUAGCUCUUGCUCAUAAUUUUUUAGCUGCGUGUUGAUGUGUUUGGGGCGCUGCCCAUAUAUAGCCAAGAGGACUUAUGGAGAGAAAACAAGAGACAGGGUAAGAUCUUGCAUUCCCUUGCUUGGUGGAACCUCCAGUUUCAAAGGCAGUCUACCACUGAAUGCAGUUGCCAAGGAGAAGCAAUGGGAAAGGGCUGUGACCUUCAUGUCCUGCUUGUGGGCUUCCUGGAGGCAUCUGGCUAGCCACUUUGAGAAGGAUGCUGGGCCCACCUUUUUGGUCUGGUCAGUCAGGGCUCUUGUGUUCUUAUGCUCCCUUCUCUGCCUGUCCUGCCUUUAUCCAAUACUUGCAUCCUGUUAAGAGGUCCAGUGUGUGGGCCCUUUCCCCACCUCCAGGAUCCACCACUUCAUGCAAGAACUGAACCAAAUACAAGCCAAAGAAGGUUCUUCUCAAAUCCCAGAAGGGGACAGGAAUUGACCUUUGUGGACUGCAGGGUUAUUCAAAAUUUUAUGCCUCCAGCUUCCCUGCCAGGCCCAGACCUGCGCAAGCCUUAGUGGUGUGAGAUGGGCCCCCUUUGGUCAGAUCCAGCUUCAGGGUUCUCCUUGUGUUCUUAGGCUUCCAGACAGGGGUCCUUCCCUCCCAGCUCCACCUGUAGAAGCUGAGGACUGAACCCGGGACUUUUGCAUUCAAAGCAGAUGCUCUACCCACCCAGCAAUAUUCUCCCCCCCCAAUGACUUAUCAUAAUAAAACUAUGGCUCUUUUUGUGGUAGGUCUUAAAUCUGGGGCGAAAGUUCAAAGUCUAAUGUUGGCCAUAAUGAUAAAUGCUGACAGCUGAACAGCUGCUGUGGAAGGCUUGGCCAGAUUUGACUCUACGGAGACAAAAAUAGUGUCUCCAUUUAUUUAUUUAUUUUUAAUGAGACCUUUAUGUGAGAUUCUCAUCAAACAGCAUGCAUCUUAUGGAUUUACAAACAGAAAUUUGAUUCUCGGUUCAUUGGUGUGGGUGGUGUGUGCCUUCAAAGAUGACUUGUUCUUACAGUCCCACUUGCCUUUGGUCUUACAUAAGAGGGUUCCAGCUGAAAUGUUUUUGCCUGGAGUUCCUCUCCAGAACUAGGAUCAGGUAGACCUGAGUUUGUCAGAGAACAGCCUCUUGGCUUCCUCCCAGAUGUAACAUCUCCACCAGAGAGAGACAUGCUGCCUGGAGAAGCUGAGCAUAGCAGGUGGCCUAAUAAGCUGGCAAAGGUCUGUCUGAAGGAGGAUGUGAAGAAGGUGGACAGAACGGGGAAAAGAAGAAAGGGCAGGUUCAGCAGCUCCACCCACAAAAGCUGUAGGCUGGAAGAGGAAGUGAUUGGAGGGUAAUAAUGGGCUAUUGGGGAAAGUAGAGAAGCAAAGCCUGGGGCAGCUGCAGCCCAAGGAGAGCCAUGUGUGGCCCGCUAGGGAGAGUCGAGACCCACUCGAGGAGCCACAUGGUUCCCAUCUACCCUGCCCCGCCUGCCCCCAAGGUUUGCCGUAGCUAGAGGAGACCCUGACAUAAUUCUGCCUCUGGGAGUGAUAAUAAUGAGCGACAAUCAGCAAAAUGUUCAUGCUGUCUGUCUUUCUGGAUACAGUUGCCAAUGCAGCAGGAUUUUAUUACACAGAGAGAAAUCCAGUCAAUCAAAUCAUUGUCACUAAGGUGCUAAUUACUUUCAAUAAAUGUAUGUCACCCAUUUAAUGCAACGAGAGUUUAGAAAAUGAUACACCUUUGGUAAUUACAGCAACCAAGACGUGUCCAUCAAUCUAAUUGUUUUUAUGAUUCUGACUCAUUUGCAUCCCUUUAUUUUUAUUAAAUGAGCUCUCAGUUAUUUUGAUAGAUACGCUCAGUGUUAAGAAAAGGAACGGGGUAUAGAGACUUGUUUCAAAUUUUGUGUAAAACGGGAAUGUGCACUUUGAAAAUGAUGUGCAAAGAUGGCUGAUUUUUGUUGAUUUUCUCAAAUUUCUGCCCUGCUUCUGUCAUGGAACAGAAGACAGCAUGGCUCCCAGGUGGCCCAGGCACUGACCAGACACUGGUGGUGUCCUCCUGUGCCUUCUUCAGGCCAGACCCUGGACAUGCAGAGGUACCACAUGAGCAAAGGGAAGGGGGAGCCAGGAAGCCCUUCCUCGACCACACACACACUAUUGACACUGGAGCAGCUGGAUGAGUUGAUCCAGACCUUGCUGAAGGUUGUUUCCCAUUUCAUUAUGUGGCUGGAAUUCUGAGUCUUGGAAAUUCCACUGAUGAAUUCUGCUGCCUGCUGUGGCACUAAGCCUGUCAGUGAAGGGGCCAGAGUGCAGGCUUGCCAUUGCUCCAUCGGCCAAAAGCUGGUAGCUUGGAGGAGCAAAAGCAGAUGACCCAAAGCCUUGGUCACUCCCAAAUGCUACUGCAAGAGCAUUGCCCUGGCUUCCUUUGUCUUGGCCUGGGAUAAAGGGGUCACAGGGGCUCUCUGUCCCUCACUCUCACCAAUCCCACGUCUCCUUUUUUUAAAUGAGAGGACUGAUGGGUGCCCUUUAGCUUCGUUAAAUGCCUCUGUUUAAGCUCCUUUUGUUUCUGGCAGCUAAACUUGAAUUUAUAGUCAGACACGGCAGGUAUGUAUAUUACCUGAGCACAAGUGGCAGGUGCCCUUUAGACCCCAUCCCUGGGAUUUAGUGUCAGCAGUUCUGUGCACUUUGGUAACUGGAGGCCUGGUGCAUUUGUUCCUUUCCAUCUUCAGGCUUGUAAAUCCCAUCAGCAGCACUGGCAUCCUUCCUCUCACCAGUCCUGGAACCAGCAUAACUCUGGCAAUGGCUGGGCUUGUCCCUCCCUUCUGCUACCACACCAUGUUGCCACUUCCUGUCUGUACCUGGGAAAUGCCAGCAGGAACAAAGGAGCUCUGGGAGUUGUAUUUCUGGAGAGAGCCUGUUAUGGGGGGGGGGCACUCGUCUCUAUGCCUCUUAGACUAUUAGCUCUAGUGUUCCAUUCAAGUUCUCAUUCCCUCUUUUUCCAGGGCCAGGAGCUCCCAAUUUAGACACGAUGCUCCUGCUUUCCUUCUGAGAUUGCUUCCAGAUAACCUGUUCAUGGAGCACCCAGCCUGAUAUGCUUGCUCCAAGUUUGUGGGGAUGUUGUAGGAUAUUUGCUGUUUGCUGAGCAUUCAUUUUUAUUCAUUUGUGGGGAGGUCUGUCCAACCAUUGACAUCUCAUACUUUCCUGUACAUUUCCACAAUAUUUUCCUUAUUACAUAAAGUCUGGUUUAAGGGGGAAGCAAGUUGGGUGCCCAAGAAAGCCAAAUCCACUUUAAUUAUGCACCUGGAAUUUGUUGCAUAAUUUCUGGAAUCUCACUAACAGAAUAGUGAUUGCUUGGAAGCAACCUCACUUGGCACACACACAGGGAGGGAGGGGCGGGGAAGGGCGGGGCGGGGAAUGGCACUGUAGCCCAUACUAGGCCCCCUAGUGUCUGGUUCCCCACCCCUCAGUUUGGGGGCGUGUGCAAGGGGGACUAUGGUCUUGUCUCCAUUGGUAUUUGUGCUACACAUUGAUGCUUGCUAAGGAUGCCAACCCGGUAAAUCACAACAGCCUGAUAUUCCAGUAACACUGCAGUUGACAGAACUAUAAAAUGAGCAAAUAAUCCCCUCCAAGUAAUUGCAGGAAUUGUCUUUCAUGACUGCAGAGCUUCACUGUGCUCCCACAAAGAAUAUUUUCUUCUCUGCAUGUUUGCAAAUUGUAGCACCUCCCAGCUCCAGCCGUGUGCAAAGACAAGCAGGGCUUUACAACCCUCCAGACGUUUGGCUCCUUCACCAUCACCAGUAACUGGUUUCUCCAGCCCUUUUCUUCUUUCAGAUUGUGUUUAUGCCUGGAACAAAGCGGCAGGCACUCAAGGAGCACUGAGGUGAGGUCUUGUCUUUCCUUGCCUCAUGUCUGGUAGUCAGGCUUAGGAAUGUGCUGAGAUGGACCCACCUUCCCAACCCUCACUUGGCCCUGUUUGGAUUUUGCAGUAAUUCAAAGGAACCAGCUCUUAGGACUGCUCAGCCUGUCUUUGUCACUGAAGGGAGCCCUCUUUCUUUCAAGCACCAUUAAGUAGUUCUUCCAUCCAGCGAAUCAGGGGGCUGGGCAGUUGCCUUCCUAGAUCCUGCCCCCCUUAGCGGCAAGCAAGGUCUUGCGUCUUGUGUGCACCCAGCACAGAGUAUCCUGGUCCAGCAAUUGAAAUCUGCAUGCAGAAUCAAUUUGAUUUUUUAAAAAAUCCUGAUUUACCCAAGAAAGCACUUGAAGGCUUGUGUAUGCUGAAUGCGGGUUCUACUGCUUAAAAUAUCAAUAUACACCAAGCUUUGACAAUUAAAUUGCUUGCUGGGGGUUGAACGGAAUUUUGUGUGUGUGUGUAACUUAAAAUCUCUCUGCUCUGCAUUGUCCGCUUUGGUGCAGGGCGUGAAAUAAUUUUUCCAUCUUUUUCCAUCUCACCCCAGCGUUCUUGGAAGGUCAGACUUUCAAUUGGGCUGUUACUGUCUCGCUGCAGAGUUUCCAAGCCACGUUAAUUUUUGGUCUGCCAUUGAUGGAUGAAGCAGUUUGAAUUCUGACAUGCAGCAGCCUGACUUGAAUGACCUGCAGAGGCCGAUGUCAGCCUCUUAUUUCAUGCCCGUUUGUCAGGCUGGAAAAAAAACAAAGACUUUUGGAGUUGUCCUUCCUUUACCUGGGGGGAGCGGGAGGCUUACACAAAGGGGAGCUUUCCCUAUCUCUGCCUCUCUCACUCUCACUAUUGCGCUCCCCCCCCCCCCGAUUUAGGAUCUUUAAAAGGGACUAUGCCAGAUUAAAGCUCCACAUCAUCCACCCCUGGAGGUAUUAGAACAAUUCUCAGACUUUUUCUGUGAGCAUCUUCUUGGAUUGUUAGUGGGAAGGAAAUUGCAUCAUGACUGAGUGAUAAGGCAGGGCAGGAGGAUACCACUGAGCUGGGAAAGCCCCUGGUGCCUGACCUCUUGGAGGUUUGCUUCUGAGGAAUUGGACAUAGUAUUGCAGCCCGGUCUGGAUAUUUUUGUAUUUGUCUGACAGUUGCUUUUUUUUAAGGAGAUAUGAACCUACAGUGUCCAAAUCAGGACAGAUGAUGAUGAUGAUGAUGAUGAUUAUAUCCCACCUUCCUCCCAACAAAACCCAAAGGAGUCUUUUCUCAUUCCUUUUGCAGUGUGACAGGGGUCAUUGCUGCUUGACUAUCCCUGUUCUGCAGUGGAUUUUUUCUCCACAGGGAACAAAUGGUUUUUUCCCCCAAAAUGUGGGAGGAAUGUCCUUUUUAUUUUUAUUUUAACAUAAACCUGCAAGGUGAUUUUUGGCUUUUCAGAGACACGAAGCAGAUUCCCUUCCAAACAUUAAACGUUCUGGUCUCCAAAGGAAAGCAAGAUUACAGGUCAAAUAAAAAGCAACCAAAAAUCUCGCAGCAGCAGCAGUAGCAGAAGCAGCAGCAGAAGCAGCACAAAACCGGCCUAGUGAGCCUCGAAGUCUGACAUGAAAGCGGAGCAGCUUUCGAGGCACAAUGGAGAAGGAGAUCAAGGUGUUCCAGAAAGAAAGCCAAACUGAAUGGCACUUGGCAAGGUGUGAGCCUGCAGAGAAGAGCAAAGGCGAGGGCAGCCGGAUGGCAAGAUGCUCGCAAAAUCCCCUUUUGUGCUGCCUGGAUUCAGAAGUCCUGGAUGUAGGGCUCUUGCACGGACCAGACUUGCCCACUUGAUUGGUUGGGCAGGGCCUUUUAUCUGCACCAGCCAACGUGGCUUUUUUGCAGCAGCAGCCCUGGCUCCUGCCUUGCCCAUGUGGGAGGAAAGGGGGCUCCCAGCCCUCCCAGCACCUCCACAGGAAGAGCUUCAGGGCCGGGUUAAAAACUCCUCUGGUUUUUGACUGAGUCCAGUGGGGAGAAAUAGCCUAAGGAUUUUGAGCUGUUUUAGUUCAAGCUUCAAAAAUUCCCCCUCCUAAAAUAAAGGGAGAAACAGUUGCUCUCCGUUUCAGAGGACUUGACUCAAUACUAUUUUCUUAGCCAGGUAGCAGGUUAAGGAGCCUCCCAGUCAGCAGGAAAUCUACCUGGGUCCCCAAAUGGCUCCCAUUUUGGCUCCUAGCCUCCCAUGUAUUUUUAUUUUAAGGAAAAUGUGCUUAGAUUUCAACGUGUGCACCCCUGCAACACACCUCUGUAUUUUCCUUGUGUGUGCAUGCAGGCUUUCUUGCUUAGAGUCCCAUUCCCAUUCUAUGACACAUAGAACCCUUCACACAGUGGGAGAAAAUCCCGAAAGUGGGAAUUCAGUACUGAUUCUCAGAUACAAUAAUUUUGUGUUGUGGUGAUGCACAAAUGUUGCUACUACGCCCUACUAAGGUGGGGAUAUUUGUGCCAUUACCUUCUUUAUCAUAACAUUGUCAACUUCACAUGACUUGCUGGGGGAAAGGUCUCCAAGUUCCAGAAUUAUGUAUUUUAUAUUAGGGCUCAUCCACACUUUCUCUUGACCCUUAUUUUGAUCAUAUUGUGUAUUGAUUAAAUCCCCUGGGUCCAAUAGCUUUUCUCGUUGUUCUGCAGCUGUGCCUUGUGAAAACCCGAUCUUACCCGCUGAAUCGGAUCUUAUCAGAUGCGCAGAAAAUCUGAAGAGAGAUUUUGCUUAACAGAGUUUCAAUUCAGCAGGUAAGAUUGGAUUUUCACAAGGCACAGCCGCAGAACAAUGAGAAAAGCUCUUGGACCCGGAGAAAUUAAUUGGUACGCAAUACAAUCAAAAUACAGGUCAAGUAAAAGUGUGGAUGACCCCUUAGAAAGAUUGGUGAAAACUCUGAAGACAGAGGAUCAGGGGAGUCUGCGGGGAGUAUCCUGGGUAGGGGAAGGAGGAGAAAUGGGUCUGCUUGAUCAGGCUCUGGGGUUCUAGGGCAACGUGUGUGAGAGCGUGUGUUAUAUAAACCCUUGUCAAGUGCUUUCUGUUCAGGACAUCCACCCAAGGUGCCUUUCCCAGGGGACAAAAGUGGAGGCAGUGGGACAGGGAGAAGCUUAGCAGUUGUGGCUCACCAGGGUCUCCUGCUUUGGGGGGAAACUGGCCAGCAGGACGAGUCUUUCACCACUGGAUAGUGAGGGGCUCUUGAGCCAAAAGUGAGCAUUGCUUCAGCAGCCGUGGCUCAGUGUGCAAAUAGUGUCUGCAAAGGUACAUAAAAUAUUCAUAUGAAAUGCCAGGAAACGGAGAUGCAUACGAAAAGCAAACUACCAGCCCUCCUCAUCUUCUGUCACUGGAAGAAAAAAAAAAGUAAUUCCCUUUUCUCCAAAUUCUCUUUAACCCCCCCCCCCAAAAAAAAAGAAAUGAGAAAAAGGGGAAAUGUAUUUAAAUAACAGUCAGGUUGUUAUUUAAACUGAUAACAACCAGGAAAUUAAAAGUUAAGCCUCCCUGACCCUCCCUUCCUCUUUUCGGCACUUGUGCAAAUCACAAAGGGACCCCGUCUCCUCCUGGCUUUCAAUUUCCUGGCUGUUGUCAUUUUCUGACACUGUUGUAGAAGGCAACCUUCAUUCACGUGCAGUGGAGGGCACAGCACCUCUGAGUGUGUGGGGGGCUUAAAGGGGGGUGCUUUAGCCCUAGUGCCAGUCCUCUGGGUUAGGGCCUUUUUGCACAAAUCUGCUAUCCUGGGGAAGCAACACCAAGCUCUUCAGGGGACUGAGGCUGGGCUUGUAGGUUAGCCCAGUUCCAGCCCUAGCAUAAACUAACCCUCUAGUCCUAAAGUAAAGCAUAGGAGAUGUGGGCCAGCACCAAUGGAGACCACCUGCUGUUGCUCCUGGGGGACUUGAAAUUGAGAGGACGGCCUGGAGCUAGAAAUGGCAUGCUCACCCCUGGGGAGCCAGUGAGGCGAUGUAGCCCUGGGGUGCCUUGCCCUUUGUGCAAUGGAUAAGUACCUAAGCCGUGCUCAGGCAUUUGCAUGAACACACAAACUCUGCAUCUUUGGGUGGUUGGCAGGAAGAGAGAACAGGGAACAUGCAAAUCCUACACACACACACAUCAGCUUUGGUUUACUAAUGAUUAUGAUUUUUAUUAGGGAAAUGGCAUGGGAGAGAGUGUUAAACCACCCAUUGCUCACACAUUUUGGCCCUCGGAGCGAUCCUAAUAGUAGCACAUUCCUCUGCUUGGUGUGCCUCCCCCUCCCCAGCCCAGAGGUCCAGCUGCACAGGAGAAGAAGCCUGAGCAUGAGACCCACUCAAAUGCAGCCCGCAGCCAUCAGCUCAGCCCCCUCCUGGCUGUACCUGACAGUUGGGGUGGUGAGGGAGCAGCUCCUCCAUGUUUCCCUUCCUCUGGGUGGGCUGCGCUUGUUUUCCUUGGGUUCCCCCUGGGCACAGUUGUUGUUGUGUAGGCUACAAGGAGCAGCCUUUGGGUCGCGUUCUAAAUUCACACCAUGACGUCCCUCUUUUGGUAACAGAUGACGAAUGGGCUCUAAUUUUUCCCCAUAACAAUCCAUAACUCUUCUUGUCCCAGGGCUGCUCAGCCUGGAGCCUCUCCCCCCCCCCUCCCUCCUCCCCAUCCCCUCCCUCAGUCUAUCAGCUCUCUGGCUUGUGGCAGGUGCCUCAUUCUUUAUUGCUUCGGAAAAACGAAGCCUCGGUUCUUAUUAAGCUUGCAAUAUCUUAAAUGAAAUUCAGAUUUAUAUGGGGAAAUCGCGCUAUUUGUAAUAUGAAUCAUCAACGUCAGUAAUGCAAUUUUAAGGAGCCGAUUUCCCCUCUAAGAAUCUGUGAAUCUUCAUGGUUCUCCUUUUACCUGCUCUAAACAAAGGCUCGGCUGAUAUCACUCUUCACUGCUGUGCAAAAUUCCAAUUCUGCAAUGUGGGGGCAGAGUGGAGAAGGGGGGGUGCUCCACAUCUUCAUUUUCUUUGCCUGGUUCUUUUUUCUGACCUGUGUGCAUUUUGAACACGUGUGAGAGUUGCUUUGUGUAGAUCAUGGAAAGAAAGAUCUGCCCACAGGUAGACAGCAACUGGGCAAGGGUUCAUUUUAUGCCACAAUCUUGUGAGCACACCCACUGUAGAAUCGAAACCAGAUAUUUUUUUCUCUUUCAAGGAACUGGGGUGCAGAAUGGCUCACAUUCCCACAUUCCCUAUGCAGAUGGGCAGGUGGUGGUUGUGCUACAGUUUGCCAAAAGGAAGUGAUGAGGCUGUGGGAGGGAAGGAAAGGGCAAAUUCCCCUUGCAAAUUGUUGCCCAUUUUAAGCAGCUGGCCCACAGCACAAUUUGGUCCUCAGAGAUAGCCCUUCUCUGUUAAUUUUGAGGCACCAGACCAGCAUCCUGCUUCUUUAGGUUUCAGUGAGAGGGGCAGAAAUGGUAUUUUAUUUUAUUUGUAAUACAUGGAGAAUGGAGUGCAGCAGCCAUGCCAUAGGUUAUCAAACCAUAAUGAUUAGUGAUACAGUGAAAUGAAUUGGGUUUUGUUUUUGUUUUUUGCCAAAUGUGUUGCAAGCUCGACGAAAAUGUUUCCGUUUCUGCCUUGGUGAAUGUAAUUGGAGAGCCCUUACUAUUGCCAGUGCCUUAAGGAAUGUCCAGUGAAUAAAUGAGUUGAAGAGGAAACAGCAAGAAGAAAGCAAAUUACAGGAAGGAGGCUGCUGGGGGGGGGAAUAAUUUUAAUUUCUUUGUGAAUUUCCUUAACAAUGGUGGCCUUUCCCGUUUUCCCAGCCUAUGGCUUUGAAAUGAUAAAGCAUCAUAAUAACAGUAUGGCUGACUUUCAUUGUUGCAUCAGGGCCCUCUAGAGACUGGGGCAUGUUUAACGUUCCUUCUUCUGAAGCAGCUGAUUUUAUGAGCGUCUGAACUUCCUUUUGUUUUGUUCGCUUUUUUAAAAGUAUGUUUCUGUUGUUCUUGAUAGCUGAGACCCCCCCCAAAAGAUAUUUUUUGAGUUUCACACAGCAGAAAAAGGAAACUCAAAGGAGCUCACCCAAUUCCCUAUGGUAUUAUGUAACAAAAUGACUUCAAUUUAUCCAGUCUUAAAAGUGGGGGCCAGAUGCCUUCGUAUUUUGCAAUUCUUAGGGUUGAUCAUAACACACUGGACACGUCUUCUGUUUGUUAAGAGAUUGUAAAGGAUUUGUUGGUUUCAUUAAUCAAACAUUUCAUUAAUCACAGAUUAAAAAUGUGGAUUUCAAGUGGAGCUGCCUUCUGAAAAUGUUCCAGCUUUGAUGGCAUGGUCACAAACCAUCUGUAUAUAUCUGUAUAAUUCAAACAAUGCACUGAAGUUUAUUUAGUUUGCAGAACCUUCAGUGGUAUUGCUAGCUUUCACCUGCCUUCAGAAAUCCAUUCAAUCCAUUAAUUGGGCCACAGGCAGAUCAUAUUUUAGGGGAUUGUGAGUGUGUUUCUGUGUUGGUUUCAUCUCUUUCUAAACUGGUUUGUGUUUUUGCUGGGGAUGAGUUGAUUCAGUUGCAUGUUCCAUUGCCUGGUGGAAAAAAUGGGAUUGCGUUUCACUAAUAAACACAGGACUAAAGAUUAUUUUUCCAUGCUGGGCCUUUUCCUAAGUCUCCCUCUAUUACAACAAUUGUUUGGGGGAAAUGAGCAGGGAAGACUAGGCAAGUAUCUCCCUGGAGAGACAGAGACCACCAGGGACAUUUCUCUACCAGGUUCCCAGCUAGUGGUGUUACAGGGCCAAGGAGGGUUACCCUCAGAAAAAGGCAGCAGCACUGCAUAGGGCUGAACUGCAAGGAUCUCAAAGACCAGCCUGCCUGCAGCGCAAGGGAUGCAGGAGGCACAGGCAUGACGCUAACAAAUCACUCCUCCUAGCCCAGCCAGGCCCGACGGCAGACGAAAGCCUGGGUUGUGUGCUUGUGGAUGCAGACCUCUUCGUGUGACCUUCUGCUAAAUUGGAUCAGGCUUUUCUUUUGUGGGCGGUGGCAGCAGAAACAACAUUAAACUUGCCCAUUUGAUGAAACCCACACAGAGAGUGGCCAUAUUUGGAUGCUUCUUUUUAAGAGAGCGGAGCCUUUCAUUGUAUGCUGAAUUCACGUCACCCUGUCAGCUUCCUGUAUGAUGGGCUUUCUACCAUUAUUAUUAUUUUUCGUAUCAAAUUGUGAUUUUUCUGGUUCUCCAUCUCCUUCCUCAUUCAUUUGCCAGACCUUCCCUUGCUGCAGCCUGGGGCAGGCCUUACCCACCACCUCCAUUGUAAGCUUGCAGCAUUUGCAGUGCAAUUCAGAUUUCUAGGUUACGAUUGCAAGGUAAACGGCAAAGAGGUCUUGGAAACGAAGCAAUUGUGAGGGGGCACUUUUUGGCCUUGGUAGUUUCUGCUAUGUGAAUUACCUCCCACAGCUUUAAACAAAAUGGGUGGGGGGAAUCUGGCAACAUGUUCUAAUUAAUAAAGGUAUUUAAGCAUCUCUUGGACCCAUGCAGCGAGUCAUCUGAAGAGAUGAGCUUAAAAGAAAUCACAUUAACACACAGAGAAGAAAAUAAUUUUUUUAUACUUGAUUUGCUGAGGGUUGGGGGGUUGAAUGGAUGCAACUAAACACGAUCUGAGCUGUCACUUUGCAGCAGGGAAACAAAGAUGCUGUUUUGGAAUGUUACAAAUGAGUCUGAUGUUAGACACUCUGUAAACUGGAGCGACAGAGGAAACCAUAUUUGUAAGAUGAUUGGUUUGUUAAUAUUUGGUAAUUGGAGUCCGUCAUUUUUAAGGCAUGGCAAACCCCAACAAACAACCUCUGCAUCACAUCAACCGCAGGAGCUUGUCAUCUUAUAGUGGGUGGGGAGCAGGUUGGGGGAUCCAGGCUGUGCCUGUUUGGAGGUUUACACCCUCCUCCUCCAAUCCCCCCACCUCAUCUUUUCAAGAGAAUGAUUUUUCUCAUAAACUAACAUGUCAGACAAAGCAUCUACAUUAAAAAAAAAAUAAUAUUUGGCGAUAUUCCACAUGAACAUUUGAUGUAAACCCUGGAGGUGUAUUCCCCAAGUACCUAUUACCUCCGUUUUAGGGAAAUUACAUUAAAUUAUUAGUGACAAAUUUACUUGUCUGCCAAUGUGUUUUUCUGGAAUUUUACUACAACAUCAAUACUUGGCUGUUUUAUACGGCCCCUCAUUUACCUGUCUUUGAAGGCAGUCACCCCUCUGGGAGUGCCGGCUGUCACUAGCAUGCAGCUUGCAAUACUCUUUCCGUUUUACAUUCCCUGUUUUGAAUUAGAGGGAGAAAUGUGUAGGUUGUGCCAGGUCUUUCAGCUGUGGCUUGUGGCCUUCCCCUGGCUUCCUCUCAUGGAAGGACCUGGAUCGCUAUUGGGAGGAUCGUGUCCUGGAGUGGAAAAAUGAAGGGAGGUGAUAUUCCUCCAGAGGUGAUAUUCCAGGAACUCCUGUGACUUUGCUUGUGCCUGAGCACACACCUUCCUAGCCCAAUGUCAAAAUGCCAGCAGUUGAGGCAAAGGUCAGGCUGCGAGCAAAGGUCAAGUGCAGCAUUUUAGAGCCCAAUUAAGUUGCUAUAAAGAACAAACCAUUGGGAAGUGUGCUGAAAGCUUCUAGCAGAAGCUGGCCUGUAGUUUGUCCACAGGGAGACACCCUAUUGUAGCCCACAAGAGGUUGCCCCCAUCCGUAGCCAAAUGUAAUUCAGAACUGUACUAUCUUCCAUCUUUAUGUCAAAUUUAGGUUUGGAUAUUUUAAUGCCAAACCUGUGCUUCUUCGGAUCUUGCUCUUCUUUUGUAUCUCCAUCAACAGAACAUCAGGACCAAGGUCCUUGCUGGAACCUCUUCCUCCCCUGUUAACAAGCAACCUCUUUUUAGGAGUAGGAAGAAGAAAGGUCUCCCAGAAAAUACAUUGGUACCAUCAAGCUAUCUUUAGAGGGAGAAUGAACUUGGUUGGCAAAUGAAGGUCAUGCUAGCAGAGGCUGGGUCUUCCUUGGAGAAGUGUGGGUGUUUAACAGUGGCUCACAUUAGCAAAGGUGUAACCAGUAAUCAAUAUAGGUAAGUUGCCCUUCGUUCUGUACCAAUCCUACUAAUCCAAAUGGGUUAGCAGUGGUCAAAGUGGGCUUCAUCCCUUUCCUUUAUCAGAGCAUGUUGUUUGCAAGUGACCAGUGUCUCCCCCAGAUUGUGAGGUCUAUAAAAGCCCUUACAGUGAGCACCCAGAGUCCUCCUCCGUUGUGCAGGUUGUUUCAUUCACAUUCGCCAUAGAGAAGAUUGCACCGGAUGAAAGUGAUUGCAAAUCAAUCAAGAAUAAAGGCAAGGUAGGUCCUCCUUCACUUAAUCUAAGCAGAAUGUCUCCCUAACUCCAAGCACUAAAAUAUGUGACUUUGCUCAAUUAAGAUAUUUGGAAUUAUUAGGAACAAAUAAGAAUCUGCCUGUGAGAACAAAUUACAGCGGUGUCAGGAUCUUGUGUCCUCCCUUUGCUGUGGUGGCUGCUCAUUUUCUGCCGUUGAUUGAGAUGCAGGAAGACAAUAUCUGCUCAUAGUGUCUGUGUGUUGUGUAUCUGUGUACCGAGAGAGGAAGAUAAAUGCCUUUUCCAGGAACAAAAUACAUUGUCUUCUUUCUCCGCCUUCCAUUUUCUUUGCAUUUCACCUGGUUUUCCUCCUCCCUACACCCUCUUGGAUAUGGACUCAAUUGUCCAAUUAAGCCUGCAGCUCUUUCCCAGGCCGUCUACCUUAUAAAUUAUGGCUAAUAUUAUUACCCCCUCCUGAUCUCCUGGUGAGGGAAAGGAUGCCUUUGGCUCAGAGAAGGGAACGAAGCCCCUCUGCCUCUUGCUUGGCUCCUCACCUCUCGUGCAGCUCAAGAUGGAGGGUUUAUGAUUAAUACAGUUGAUGCAGAAAAUGGCCUAUUGCAUCAUGGCUUCUCCUUCUCCUUCUUUUAAAUAUCUCACGCUUGCUGCACACAGUCUCUGAGCAUCCGUUAGAGGGAAGUGACAGCCGGGCUGACCUUUCUCUUGGAAUCACGUGUGUGUGAAAGAGAAUUAGCAUGAUACAAGGACUGUUUAAUGUGUUUUUACCUCCCCAGCUUCCCGUUUAGAGGCUGAGGCCAGCUACCUGCAUCUUCAGAACUCCCUUUACCCCUCUAUCCUUUGCAUGUCUCACGGUACUGUGGCCUAAAGGACUUUCCUGGCCCAUUUCACAUUCCCUAAAGGUCAAGCUAAACAUUUUGCCUCCUUUUGUAUCUUUGCUGACAGAGCAGGGGGUGGGUGGGAGCCCUAUUCAACUGCUGUAACAAUUUUUCGGCAGCCACAUCGAAGGCAGUGUCAAUGCAGGAAGGUGUUAUGACUUAAAUUGGCUCUUUGGUGCAACUGGAGUCCAUUGAGUGACAACUGUGGAAAGUCCACAAGGCUGGGUGGUGGUGUUUUUUCCAGUGCCCCCAAUUAGUGCCAUUAGCGAAACUCUAAUACGCCUGGCGUGUACCUGCAACAGCUGUGGCUGAUACAAAGCCAGCCAAUCACAUUAUGCCCUUGUCAGCUCUCAUUAGCCUGUGAUCAAUUUCCAGGAUCUAAGGCCAACCUGAAUGAAAAGUAAAAACACAUUGUUACCACAAAUUUCAUCAAGUAAAUAUGCUGGAUAAGGGAACAGAUCAGCUGUGACCUCUUUGACAUUUUCAAAAUGUUUAAAAGCUGAAGUUAAUACUUUCUGAUGGGCUUUCAUCUUGCGUUGACAAUGGAGGGGCCUGGAGUGGUGACAGCCUGUGUCAAACGGGGCUGUCUUAUCAAAAACAAGACCCCCUCCAGAUUUUCCGAGCCAAAUAUUCUCAUCUAAGAUAAUUGCAUUUAUAUGGUUUUUUGCUCUCUCGUCUCCCCACCCCCCGAUAUACACCUCGAAGUCUUCUGAGCAGCAUCAACCUUUUCAUUUGAUGCUUCCCACACACACACAAAGAACAGGAUUGUGUGUGUGUGUGUGUGUGUGUGUGUGGGAAGCAUAAAAAAUUAAAAGGUUUUAUUGCUUAAAAGAAAUGCAGACUUUUUCUGUGCCAAGCCAACCAGAAGUGAAUAUGGCUCAGUGUUACAUUUUAUCUUUGGGUGUCUGACUUGGGAUUUUGUCACAGAUGUUGAACGUUUCAUCUUCCAUGCGGGCUUUUUCAGGGAUCACUCAUUUGCCUGUCAACUGCUUCCGUUUCCAUUUGUGUUCUUUGGUGGGGGAAGAAGACUGUGUGCUUUGCUGGGCAUUACUGGUUAGAAUUCCCUUCUAAUCUUUGCUUCAGUGUGAAUCUUUCUGUGGUUAGGGUUUACAAAUUUGCUUCUCCCAGUUAAUGAUUGUUGUUGGCACUGGGAGAUUUGCAUGAACCGCAGUUCUGUGCCGGAGGACCUUAAUGGGUUUGAAAGACAUGCUUUUGCCUUGUAUUGUGUGGAGAGGGGGAUUUCCCUGGAGUCAAAGCUGGGAGAGCCUCAGAUAAUGCUGAGAAAUUGUACUGUACUGCCCUCAAUAACACUUUUGCUCCCUCCCUGUUGUUGACCACAUUCAUUCCGUCUUGUGUCCAUUUUGCUUUCCUUUGACUAUAUUCUGUUUGGACAAAGUUUGGGUUUUUUUACUCCAUUUUUGCUUCAUUGGAGUGACUGAAUUUUUAUAACAGAUUAGGAAGAAUGUUAAAAGAUGUGGAUAGAGCAGGUAGACAGGAGUUGCUACAGCUGAGUCUGGAGAGCAAAUGGUACACAGGAACAUAGGUAGUAGCUGCCGUAAACCAAGUCAGGCCUUUGGUCUAUCUAGCUCACUAUUGUCUUCACCGACUGGCAGCAGCUCUCCAGGGUUUUGGGCAGGGAGUCUCUCCCAAUAUUACCUGGAGAUUGAACCUGGGACCUUCUGCAAAACAGGUGAUCUACCACUGAGCUGCGACCCCUUCCCCUUGUUCUGAUGAAAACCACUGUGUGUUAAAGGCACAAUUUCUAAUAAAUGGACGCAUGGAUUUAUUAUUCAUUACAAUAUUUUUACCCUAUAUUUCAGUUUUCAGAACUUCCAGAGCAGCUUACAAAUAUGAACUGACAAUUAAUACAACCAAAAACUAAAACAGCAGGAGAAGAAAUAAUAAAACCAGCAAUUGAUAAUGGAACUCAGAAAGGACUGAGCAUUUUAAAACAGCUGGGUAAAUAAAAUGGCAUUUGUGUGGAACCUAGAAACAGAGAUUUGGCACCAGUCGAAGUUUCCCUCACCUGUGUGGAGAGGUGGCCCCACAUAGGCCUUUGCAUGACCUAACGGUCCACUCAUUCACUUUUACCUAAAUACUCUUCUUUUUACCGAAAGAAGAGAAAUUUUUUAGGAAAUGUUCUUCCACUUUUAUCUCAAAGGUGGGGUGAUUUCAGGAAAGCUGGAAGAAGCAAAAGUGCAAUGUUGGCAUAAAAGUGAGAAUAACUCAGCCAGCUGGUGGUGGAGAGGUGAGCCCAAAGGCAGGCCUACCUUUGGAAGGUGUUAUCAGAGUGAGCUCCCCAACCCCUCCGAUUAUUCCAAGUGCCCUGAAUAUCUAUUGGGGUGUUCUGCUUAACUGCAGCUAGUUGAAGAUUAGGAUAAUUCCAUGUGGGCUGCCGGUGAACCAGGCAGAAGGGCUUGCCACUUGAAGGCCAGCCUCCGGUUCCUCCUCUCUCUAAAGUUUGGCAAACAGCUGGGAUUCACUUGAUCUUUGCUCUUCUCACAUAUUACAUGUUGAGGUUUAAUUUUUGGUUUAAUUGAUCCUCCUCUGGCGGCCUCUCCCUCCCCCAGAGUCCCCCCUCUUUUAAUUCAACUUUUCAGGUUUUGCUGACAACAUAGUUCGCAAAUUAAUAGUUCCUUUAAAACCUUUGCCUCCUUUUCAUUUUCUUUCAAUAUAGAUGCCCUUUCUUCACCCUUAUAUUCUUCUUUUAUCUUUUGUGCAAUUUGGUUUUCUUUCCUUUCCCCCACUUGACUGCCUUGUCUUGUGCAACUCUUUUGACUGAUUUUGGCCUCAGAUUCCCAUUAGUAAUGAGGAGGAAAUUGGAUGCACUUUGUAUUUGCCUAAAUCUACCUAAGCCACAUUUUCUGAAACAAUACAGGUACUAAAACACAACCAGCCUUCAAAAUUUGCACUGCUCCGAAUUUUGCAGUGCAGUUUUCCAGCCAGCCAGGUAAUGUGCAAAAAAAUUCAUAUACUUAUGAAAGUAAUAUACAUAAUAUACAUUAUAUUAGGGGAAUACUGUUACAUUAAAAUUUGGAUAUUUAUCAGAAUUGUACAGAAAUUUGUAUGUUAGGAGAAAUUCACACUAAAAUGCUGAUGAAUUUUCCAUUAGGUUUUUUUAAAAAUUGGAAACUGAUAUGGAAAUGUGGAGAACUGAAUUUAAGAUUGGAAAAUUAGGAUGAGCUUAAAUCAACAGAUUUGCCCACCCUGUGAUUCCCACCCACCCAAAUAACACAUAUUUAUUUACAGUGCCAGGUGCCCCUCUGCAAUCAGUUAUACUUAAAAGUGUUUACUGAGAGCUGCAUCACUUUGAGUUUUAUGCUGUUCUCUUGAAAAUCAAAGGUGAAGCCUUUUCUAUUCAGCAGCCUUCAAUUUUAAAUGUUUGAAUUACUUUAAUUUUGGACUACAAAAAAAACUAUAGUGCAUAGAAUUAAAAAGCACUUUAUAAACCAAAAGCCGCUCUGGAAAUGGGCAAUGCUGACAUUGUAAUGCUGAACAGAGAAACAAUGAUUCCAACAUUUAUUUAAUAGCAGUAAUAUUCCCCCCCCCAACAGGCUCAAAUAAAUAAAGAAUGGUGCAGGUUGUCCAUCUAAAAGAAAUUGCUAAUGUUUCUUGGUCAUUUCCAAGCAAAAUAAUCAGAACAAGUUAGCAGCUACAUUUGGCCAAGGACCGAGUGCAGGAUUUCCGUGUUCUCGGAAGCUGUAUCGGAGGCGGUGUCCUUCACAAAAGCCUCCCACAGAUGUCAGGGAUGGAGAAGCUGAUUCAGCCUUUGACAGGCGGAGCAAAGAAUGCUGUAGUAUCUUUUAUUUAUUCAAUUAUCCACCUGCACAUAUGGGGAAAUAACAGAAAGCUUCCAAAGUUCUUUUGAAAUCGUGACGUAAAUAAAAGCCUAAGAAAUAUCACAGGAGGCUGAUCUGUUGCUCUCAGAUCAGUCUCCGCAUGUCAUGCAACGGCUCGAAAUGGAGACCACUUUGUGCAAAGCAGAUCAAGACUUCCAGGAAUCUGUGCUUGCCGCCCCCCCCCCAAUUGCUUGAUAUCAGUUUGCACCCUGAAGAUUUUACCUGUGAGGGGCCCAGUAGUUCACAAGCACCAGGCCAAAUUUUGUGCUUUCUGAGGCUUGUGAAUCUGAACUGCAGCCCCCCACCCCACUCCAAACAGCCAGAUGUUUCUUCUGGGUGGCUGCUCCCAGACUUUGGAACUCCCUUUCUAGAGAUGCAGGACUAGCUCCCUCCUUGUCCUUCCAUUGGCAGUUGAAGACUUUUAUUCCAACAGGAACUGACUUUUUAUUAUUAUUAAGUAAAGUGUUUCAGUAGUGCUGUUCUGUUUUUAUUAUCUGUCUUUUAAUAGAAUUGUUUUUAUACCAUUUUAAUUCUGUUAGAUUUUAAUUACUUUCUAACAAUUACCUUCUAUAUGUUCUUAACUUUUUGGGGUUUUUUUAUCAGUGCUGUUUUGAUUUAUGUAAGCUGCCUUGAGUUGUGGUUUGGGGAAAAGGUGGGAUAUAAAUAAAUAUAGUAAUAGUAGUAGUAAUAAUAAUUGGUCAGUUUUGCUAGGCAGCAGGAUCAUCCCUUGUUUGUCCUGUGUGCCACAGAGGUGACACCCUGCCGGAUUCCAUGUGGUUUAUCAGAUAGCAAGGUGUUUUCAGGUGAAGCCUUCCAAGGGAGCUUCUGGUAUGUGUCUCUGUGGUAUUUGCCAGUAGGUACACCUUUGAGGGUUACAACCAUAGAGUUAGAAGUCACUUAGAAGAGUCCAGCAUCUCCUAAGGAGGCUGUAGGUUCCAUUGUCAAGCCGCUUGUACAGUUUAGAAGGGGCUCCUAAUGCUUAGCCCAAAUCUGAUUCUCUGCCAUUAGUUUCACUCCUACCUUCUGAAGCUGAGAGUGGAGGGAGGAGAGUUAUUAUGACAUACAUUCUGAAAGCCAAAAUAGUUCUCCUUUGGGGGGAUGAGGGCUGCUAAAAAUGCAUUUUCAGAACAAAUGCGUGAGGAUUCCUGUUUUUAAUUCUGAAGGAUGCUUUUUUAAAAAAUUAAGUGCAGAUUCUGCCCCCCCAAUUGCUUCAUACAUGUUUGUUAUUAUUGUAAUAUUUAUUAUUAUUAUUAUUAUUAUUAUUAUUAUUACACUGUAUUAUCUGCCCUUCACCUUAAGGUCCUAGGGUGGGUUGCAACAAUUAAAACACAGUAAUAUUAACAACAGUUCUAAAACACCUUAAUAUUACAAAAAUAAGAUAGGCCCUAAAAAUUUACAUCUCAGAUGUCAACCCUCAAAGUAAAGAAGUGUGUCUUCCUUGCAAGGAAAAGAACCAACAGCUUCCUAAUACUAUUAUUUUAUAGUUCUCCAUGCUUUAUAUAUAGCAUUGCAUGCAGGAUUUAUAUCAUAUCAUGUUAUCAUGUGUGAUGCAUACACACAGUGUGCCUGUUUUAUUGUGAUUGCACAUGGCAGGAAGUCACUGCCAAAUGAGUCUACCUUCCUGCUGUCACACAUGGCAAACUGCACCUGGUACUUGCAGAACUUGCCUUAUACAGAGUUGGACCCUUGGUCCAUUUAUCUCAGUAUGGUCUACACUGACUGGCAGCAAUGGCUCUCCAGGGUUUCAGUCAUACCUGGAGAUGCCAGGGUUUUGAACCUGGGGUCUUCUGCAUGCAGCUCUACCUGGGCUUUACCACUAAGCUAUGACCCUUCUCCAUGGAUGUGACUUCCAUGUAAACAAUUUACAUUGGGGUGAAUCUGGCCAAAGAAAAUCAGCACUGCUGGAAGAAGUAAGUGGUGCUGCUCUUGAAGCAAACCCUGCACUGGAGGGAUUGAAGGAUCUGUCCACUUCAGCUCUUCUCCCUGUUUUUCAUUUUUCCAUUCUUAAAUUCUCCACAUUUCUCAGCAAAUCACAAAAUUUGUUUCAAAAACAUCCUCAUGAAAGUUCCCCAGCAUUUUAUUGUGAAUUUCUACUAAUUUUGCAUUUUUGUAUGCAUUUUUUACUAACAUGCAUUUUUAUAUUAUUUUUGCUAAUGCAUUUACUUUUAAGCACACUUUCUCCUCAACUAUGCAAUUUUGUAAACACAGGUUGGGGGAGAGCUGCACUGCAAAAUUCAGAGAGGUGUGAAUUUCAAUGGUUGGUUGUGUUUUAGUUCUCAUAUUAUUUCAGAUACUUCAAAUAUAAUAGAUUCACCUUGAAAUGUCAAAUUUCUCUCCACCCCCCUCCUUAUCCUCCACUCUCAAAGUGUUAAUUGGGUAGAUUUCGCAGGCACUGUAUGCACAAACCUCCUCCCCUAAAUUGGACCUCUGUUUCAAAUGGGGUUGUGCUGGACAAGAAUGGAAACCAUCAAGUGUCUCGUGAGGAUGACCUCCCAUUUAAGCUGCCCACAUUUCCCAUUUAGAUGUCUAAAAGUGUUAAGAGGAGAAAAUAUUUUUUUUAAUUUUUAAAAGCAAGAUAAGCUCUUUUAAUGUGCUCUCUUAACUAUUUAGCUCCUGGUGCCACUUUUUGAUUGCUUCUUAGAGGAAUUUCCAAAGAACACGAUCUUGGAUUGACCACCUUCUGCUUGAUAGUGGUGUAGACAGAAGUGCAGAAAUUGCAGGUGGGAUUGUGUGAAGAGAAUGUUGUCCAAGAAAGGUGUGCUGGAGUAAACUCAUGGCAUGCAAUUUGCAAAAUGAGAGCAGGUGGGGGCAUGAUCCAGGAAGCAGUAAACAAAAAGACUAAUUUUCUCUUCUGCAACACGUUUUCCAGCAACCGCAUCCCUCUGUACACCUCCCACACAUAUCUUGCUUUCUCAUUGCAUCACAUGGAGGUUUCAGAGAGGGUGGCAUGGGAAGGCAAAUUCAUUAUGGCUUUUGCCUUCCAUCAAGGGUUUUUUGUUUUUUUUUUACUGUUCUGUUCUUAAGCAUUUCUGAGCUGCGCAAACAUUUCCAAGCCCUUUCUUUUUCUUUCUUGGGGGUGGAAGUUUUAUUGGCAUUCAUGGGUGGAUAGAGACCUGCAGAUCAAUAGACACAUGCUAUCCAGGUAGUCAGAGAGAGAUGUACACCUACAGGAUAUACUGUAUAUCACACAUCCCUUAAAGAUGAGCUGCACUGCUUUUUAAAUAAUAGAUGCUUGAGAAGCCAGAUUAUUAACUGGAGAUGUGUGCAUGGAUUUCAAAAUCCAUCCCUACAACACCUUUUAAGGGAGGCCAGUCAGAGCUGCUCCCAGUCACCUGUGGAGAUUUUCAUGCUAAGCUGGAGGGGGCACAGAAGAAGCCCUAGCCUGAUGCAAGUGAGUGAGGAAGGGCCUUGCAAAGAAAAGCGGUUGAAGAGAAAAGAGGGCAAGCACUUUGACAGGUUUUUAAAAACAACAAUAACAGACUAUUGUCCCUUGGGGGAAAAUCAUAUAUCAAAACCUAUAUCAGGAAUAAGGAACUAUCUGUACAGCUGCUUUCACCCUGAACUUGGCCUCUGGCCCUGAUCCUGCAAUGACUUACAGCUCCUCCUCCAGUAGCAAAAUUAAGCAGACAUCUCUUUACAAAUAGUGCCUGCUACAUGCAUUUCACUCCACAUUUUGACUCUGCUUAGAGGGGAAAUCCAGGCUAAAGUCAAUAUUCCAUUUGUAUCCCCUCUUUCUUCUACUCUGUAUGUUUGUGCCAGUUGCACCCAUCCCAGGCACUAACAAGACCCACACCUGCUUGGCUUUGGCCAAGAAAAGAGGUUGCAUCCUGUGCCUUCAGGCCCCCCAACACUUCCUUAGCAUGGGGGUUCCUACUUUCUCUUAAGUGUCCUCUUCAUGGCUGAAGGGAAAGCAGAGAUGCUGGGAAGGUCUCCGAUCUGAGGCCACCACCUUCUUUGCAAGACUGUUGAUCUCCAAAUGCCGCUUUGCUGCAAUGACAACAGAUCCAUAAUCAAUUCUUACCCACUACUCAGGUCAUUGGUGGUCAUCCCAAGGCCUGGAGUGCUGGCUAAGGGGUAAAUAUUUGACCACGGCCAUAGUGACCCUGCAUUAAUUAGCAGGGAAAUUCAGGGCUUUACCUCUGAUGGAAUCACAAUAUUGUUUUUACAAGUUUAUGAAGGCUUGAUUGAUGUGAGGCCCACUGAUUCUUUAAAGGAUUAAAUUGUAUGUACAGGGCCUGCCUGUCAUUCCUUAAGCAGGAACUGAAAAGAGGGGGAAUGAAAUAAAACAAGAGGAUAUAUGCCUUUUAAACAUGCUAUAUGCCUUUUAAACGUGCUGAUGCUUCCAGGCUGACCAGGCUUUGGAAGACUUUGGGGCUGAUGAUGCUAAACCAUGUGUAUACAGUGGUUCCUCUGGUUACAUACUUAAUUCGUUCUGGAGGUCCGUUCUUAACCUGAAGCUUUAGCUAAUUUGGCCUCCCGCUGCUGCUGCGCCGCUGCUGCCACGCAAUUUCUGUUCUCAUCCUGAAGCAAAGUUCUUACCUGAGGUACUAUUUCUGGGUUAGCGGAGUCUGUAACCUGAAGCGUAUGUAACCCGAGGUACCACUGUACUUUUCUUAUUUCUAUAUGGGACUGCCUCUUAGGCAUUUGGGAUUGAUUGAGGCAUUUCACAUAUUUUUCCAGCCUUGGGGAAGAGCUGUUUUGGGUGUCAUAUGGCGAAGUGGUGACAGAGUGCACUUAUCAGGAGCCCACCCACUUCAUCUGGACAGCAACAUCGUUUUCAGGAGUGCCAGAGAAACAGCCACACCUGGCCCAAGAGAGGUGCUCUGCUGGGACACCUUGCAACAACACACAAGGGGCUGAGGCCAAGCUUUCGUGUUUCAAGAUGUGUCACUUUGGGCCCCUAGAGGUGCAGCCCUGUCCAGACCUACUUGGGAUUAAUGCAGAGAGGCUUGCUUCCAAGUAAGCAAGCCUUAGGCUGCACCACAGACUUUGUACAACUCUUCCCACCCCACAACAUGAAAGAGAGUGGGAGACAGGCUUCUCUUGCACUGAGCUCCAUGUGCCUCACCUGACACUACCCCAGAGGGUAUCAUUGGGGGUGGGCAAAUCUGUCAACUUCCAUUUUUUUCAUUUUCCCAACCUUUAGUUCUUCGCAUCAAAUGGUGAUUUAUUUAUUUUUUAAAGAAAACAAAAAUUUUCUUCAGUGAAAAUUCUCGUUUUCUCAUCAGGAUUUUGGGAAGAAUUUCUCCUGGUAUGUGUAUAUUUUGCCUCAUAUACACAUACGUGCAAAGCAAUUUUAUCUAAUAUAAUGCAUUUGUGUGCAGACUUCUCCCAAGUUGCAUACAUGACGUGGCUGCAAGGCAGCAUUGGAAAAUCUGGAGAUUUGUGAAUUUCAAAGGAUGGCUGCAUUUCAGGUGCUGCAUUGUGUCAGAAAGCGCAGAUUAAGUGGGUUUGCCUUUAAAUGCAAACUGAGUUUAAUUCCCCACCCCCUAGUAUCAAAAGAGAUUGUUUCAGUGCAACCACCAGAAAUGUCUCAAAAUUUCUCAUCCUGCUUCUAUGAUGCACCCCCCCCAGCUCUCUCCUCCUUUCUCCCUGUGCUGCUGAUGCCUUCCCUUCUUUCCUCCUCCAGUCUCCUUUACCAGGCAAAUCCAUCCAAAGCUGAAGGAGCCACUGGAGGGGGCUGAUUGGAGGUGGGAGAGCAGAAAGGGGCAUCUUCUCUCCCCUUUCUAUCUGUGGGGCAAAUGCUGUAGUUCAGUUGGUUCCCCCCACCCUGGACCUUUAGGCUUUAAAAACUAUAAUUUCCCUGUAAACCUGUUAAGUUGAGAAAUGGCCUGUUCCUAUAGAGUCCGCGGCGCAUAAUGAAUCAACCCCAAUAAAAACCUAAAAGGCACAAUAAAAGGAAAGCAAAACUCAGCGUGGUCCCUGCCGGAGCACUUGGCGCUUGCCUCCCCCUAAGUAGCUGUUUAAAAUGUACGCCCGUCCAGGGCGAGAAUUACAGUGGCUUGGAUUUACGGUUGCCAGGGCGGCUGCUUGGGAGCAUGAGAUAUGGCCAGGGGUCCCCACCCGUGCCAGGGGUGAGCUCCCCCUGACUCAGGGGCAAGGGGGGGGUGAUGGGAGCUGAAUGUGCCUUUAAAAGCCACUGAGGGAAAAGGGUUUGUAAUAGAACAGCAAGCACAUCGCUAUCAUGGCCUGACAUUUCACCCCAAACCUAUCAGAGGGAAAGGAGAUGGAGACUCUGAACUGCAAGCAGGGAGAAGCGAACUUUCCAGAAGCCCCACAUUUUUGGAAAGCAACAAUGAGGGCAGGAUCACUCUGCUUCCAUUAGGCAGCCCAGCUCUCUUCGCAUUUGCCGCUCUUUCUGAGCUGUACGGUGGGGCUUAUUUGGGGACACACACUGCAAAAACAUAUAUUUUCUAUCAGGCCUUUCACUUUUACUUAUCUGUAGCCUUUUUGCAUGCGUGGGAUGUUUAAUUCAAGGGUAGUUUUUUAAAAAAUAGAAUUGUGUUUUACUCUUUUUUAAACGCUAUUUUCAUGUAUGUAUGUGUUUGCUAAAAUUAUUGUAAGUCCUUUGAGUUGCUGCGGCAAAUUAGUGACUAAUAAGUUUAAUAAAUAAAAUAAUAAUAAUUUAGAAAGAUGUGUAUAGCACCCAGAAACCUCUAGUUAGUGCAUGAACAGCAGGCUGUGCUUUUUUUGCUGCCCAUUCCCUCAGCUAAGGGAUGGCAGUGAUCACCAUUAUCAUUAUGAUGAUGAUCAGUGCACAAUUGUAGAAGGAACAUGGGAAAACCUGACACAGGAAUGAUUAAAAAGUAGCAAGAUAUGCAUGACUUCUUAGUCACCAACACAGAAUGCGACAGCCAAGAAAAUCUUGGUACAAGUAUGCUGAAGGAGUGGGAGAAUCCGUCACAGGACAAAAGAAUGUUAUGUUCAAAAGAGCUAGCAGGGCAAGUGGACAGGGAUGUGGCCUGGCAGGGAGGAGAGGAGUUCAAGGGCAGAGUUUAGUUGAAACUCUGGUUGCAAUGUUUUCUAUUUGCACAUUGUAAACUGCCUUGCCCCUUAGGGAACAGUAGAUCAUCAUCAUAAAUAAUAAUAUUUAAUAAAAAUAACUAGUACUGUAUAACACAUUCUGGAAUAUACCUAUAAUGGAGAGAAUUACACAUCAUUUAAGAUUUCAACAAGGCCUAAAACCUCCAGACACAUUUUAUAUGAUUUGGCAUUCCUUUAUUAUAUAUGGAAUGAAGCCAUCAUUUUCAACCCUUGUCACCAGCCUGGCAAAUCUGGAACUAUACUUGAUAAUCAAAUAAUGUUGAUAGUCUUUUCAUGAAGACAACAUUUAUUCUCACUUUUUUUCUUUUAUGACUUGGACUUUAUUUUAACUCACAUGUAACUGUGCUUAUUGUACAUGCCCAUUUUACAGUUUUGUUUUUCAUGUUUUAAUUUCCCUCUGUUAUAACUGUUCUGUGUUUUAUAUACAUUGUAAAAUGGAGGGGGGGAACAGCAGCUACUACUAAUAAUUAUUUCCUGGUGGGAGAAAUGCUUUGCCAAAAGUGGUGUUUUUACCCUUAGGUAAAUUGUUGUUUGAUUUCACUUCCAGACAACCUGUUUACUGAGUGUUCAUCCUGAUUCAUUUGCAGGGAGAUUAAAUGAGGCUGGCUAUUUAAUUUGUUGCUUCUCAUUCAUUUGUGGGGAGAUUAGAUGAUGCUGCAUCAAAGCAAGUGUUAUUCCUGCACUUUCCAGUGUGUUUGCCUGUCAUUUUCCUCCUUACAAAAAGUCUGAUCUUUGGGGAGGCUGAUUUCUUGCACGAGACUUCCUGACCAACUGUAAUAACGCAAUCUGAAUUUGCCAGUAUGUGGUUGAAUCGCACCUGAAAACAGUGACAGUCUGGAAGGACUGGAUUGUCCUCAUCGAGGAGGACGAUUCCGUUGCUCCAGCCUGGGCUGCAUUAAUGCAAAUGGCUACUGUGCAGAAGGAUGCAGGGCUUGCGCGUGAGGUGCUCCUUGCGGAGUGUGCCCUAGGCUGGUUUAGCUGCUUGCUGCUGCCAUGGGUGCUGGCAGCCGUUGCCCUUUUCUGCAGGUUUUCAGACUAAUCAGGGACCACCCUCCGCUAGCUUUAUAUGAUGUUUAGGCAGGGAAUUGCCUUUUGCAUUGCAGCUGACCAGGGAAAAAAGAGAAUUUGCAGGAGAAGAGGAGGGAACCCCACUGCAGACAGUAUUCCCUCCUCUUUUCUGUGUCUGAAUUUCUGGGCUUAAGGCCGGCCAUGGGAAAUCAGAGAGAGAGAGAGAGAACUGGCAGAAUCUGAUGCAUAAAGAGAAAGCAGAGGUUUACCAUCCUGAAGAACAACAAGUGUCUUUAUUGUUAUGUUAUUUGUGAAACCUUUGGUGUGAGGUUGCUUGGCGGAUGCAGUGUCAAACUUUCCCCCUUUCCUGGCAGCCAGCUUCCCGCCUGGUGCUGCUGCAAGGGGAUGUUCUGGGUUCCAAAUGGCAACCAGUUAAUGGUGUCAGUCAGCCAAGUUGCCAGCACAGCCGCUUCUAAGAGAGGCGGCUGGGCUGCCUCUGUGCACCACAUCAGGCUCCCUCUUUUUACUGUGGCGCAUCUUCUUUUCUGUCUUUCUCCCUGUGAAGUGACCCCUUCAACCCUGGGCUUCUGCUGCAGCCAGCCGAGCUUUGGCCUGCUUGCCUUCUCAUGAGCAGCCACCUCUCCUGUUAGACUAAGCUUGGGAUGAAACUCCAGGGGGCUUGCCCUCGAGACCAUGUUUUCCACCCCGUCCAUUUCCCCCUCUAAUCCUUUGUGCCGAUUUGGAAAUCUUGUGAACCUGCUGCAGAGCCGCCUUUAUGGCAGGGGAAAUAUUGUUCCACGCAGUCCUCUUCGUUAGAUCCUCACCAACACAGCUCCCAGUCCUCCCCCUGGGAAAUCUUGACCAGGGACAGGGGGCAGUUCUCUGCUUUCUCUAGAUGAGAGGAUAAUUUUGACUUUAUUUCGCCCCCCCCUUUCCUGAAAUGGUGCUUCUGGUGAGAUGCGAGGAAUCCAUGCACGUGGAAGCAGACUUUAAUAACAUUUAAAAGAGUAGGCUUGUAACAGUCAGCUUAAAAUAGCCCUCAGCUGAUUUUUUUUAAAAAAUAUUGAUAACCAAAUAUGCAAGGAACAUUAGUUACCACCCCCAAUUUAAUAGAUUUUCAAAUACACACACACACCCAUCAUGGGAGAAAUUGCUUCUCUUAUGAAUCCUGUUUUUAUUUUGUACAAUAAUAGAUUUGGCAAAUCGUUCUUUCUACUCCUUUUCACUGUCUGAUAUUUAAGCAUGUGUGUAAAAAAUCAGAAGUUUUUUUUUAAAAUGCAUUUAUAAUUGUUCAGAAUUGCCAGUAACGUUUAAUAACUAUCAACAAUUUCUUAAUUGUUUCUUUAGAAAAGCCACCCUUCAGCAUGUCAGUCUAAAUAGCAUCAAAAGAGGCUUUUAAAGAAAUCACAAAAAUUAAGCUGUUUAACAUCUUUUUUCAGAUAAUACUGAUUAGAUUAGAGAUAAUUAUUCAUCUUAAUUUCACUAAAGGAAAAAAAAAUUACUCCCUUCAUUGCUUCUAAAUGAAAUUACAGAUCAGUUUUUCCACAGACAUUUCUUUAGAGGAAAAACAAAGCAUGCUUACAAAUGCAUUCAGAAAGGGAAGACAGACAUUUAUGUUUUCUCUUAGCAUGUCCUUCAGUAAAAUCUUCAAACUUUUAAAUCCUGUUCUGAUUCUUUUUCUGCUAGAAAAUGCCUAUAUGGAUGAGGAAUGGCAGGUAGCUGCACUGUUAGGACUGGUAAUAUUAAAACAUUGUAUGGGCUUGCAACAUGUUCUUCCAAUUUCUUUCUUUUUUUAAAUGUCUCCAUAUAGAUAUAAAUAUAUAAAACCAAACCAUUUAAAACUAAUGGCAAUUUCUGUCAAUUUGCAUUUCUCCCAUUAAUAGAAAAAUGCACUCUCCUGAAAAUCGGAAAGGGUUUGGCCAGCGUAAGUACUUUAAAAAAGAGUUCUUAGUUGGGGCUUUUUGUCACAUUGUAAAUAUUUCAAAUGAAGUCUUUUAACACCAGAGUGGAUAAGGCAGAAAAUGAACUCCCCCCCCUAAGAACAGAAGGAAGGCUGCCUGCCUGCCUGUCCGUCCAUCCGCCUGCCUCCUCCCUUGCUCGCUUGCAAGCAGGGAUCCAGAAUACAGCUGAGAAGCCGUAGGUACUAUUAGGAACAUUAGAGAUGUCAUUUUCCGCAUUAUUUUAAUGGAAAGCUUACUUUUUGGUACAACAAGUCCUUUCUGACAUGAUAUAAAUGUUUUAAAAUAAAAAGACAUUGAGGGGAUGAGAAAAACAUUUUAGCCUUAAUUAUUCAUAAAUAGCUACCUCAACUCCAUUUUCACAAAAUGUCAGUUGACCAAGAAACAUGCUUAUUUUGCAUGAGAAAAAAGAAUAUUUGUGCUGUAAAAGAAUGCUAAAUCAAUGUAUAUUUAACUUAAAAUGAAAUUUGCAAAUAAGAGACAACCGUCUAUCACAGAAGUGCAUUAGCUGGGCAGGGCAGGCCCGGCUGGUGCAGAGAAGCCAAGGUUAACCCUUUCGGAGGAGAAUACCUGCAGGGCUUCCUAAAAGCUGUCUUGGGGGCAGGGCGUUUAGCAGCAAGAGCCUGAAUGGCAACAGCAGUCUUGGGUUGUGCAGAACAGCCCCAUCUGGCUGCAGAGUCCCUGCCUGAUGAAGGGGGGGGGGGGGUAGAAUCAAGGGUCAACCAAGGGUCAUCUAGUCCAACCCCCUGCAAUGCGGGAAUAGGUGCGAUGGGAUUCCUACGCACUUGUGUGCCCAAGGAGUGGUUGUUCUUGUUAACUCUGUCGAUUAAGGGUAAUAAAAGAAGAGUUCGAGGAGUUUACAGGCGGAAUGAAUGUUCUUCUCGUCCUGACACACACACAGCGCCCCCUCCUCCCCACCCCCAUCCAUCUUGCGGUUUUUUUCCUCGGGACCUUCCGUGGCUGAAGUGCGUGUUUGUGUUUCCAGGUUCCGUUGGCAGACCUAAUUUCAGAAUCCAUAAUGCAUGAUUUUGAAACCAAUUUGUUAUUGUAAUAAAAUAAUUUUCGGGAUGCAGGGAGGUCCUGGAGAGGCUGGUGUUCAAUUAUACAUGCACUGCGGCCCGGCGCCUGGGCUGCGCGCGGCGCGCAGGUGGAUCUCCCGGUGACCUUGGCACCGGCGAGGGGAGCCUGGAAUAACAAUCAAAGUCGGGGCUGGAAUUCUGGCCGUUUCCAAAUAUUAACAACUUCUGUCAAAGAAAGCGCUGAUUUCAGCACUUAUGGUAAUGGGAGAGGCAUCGGGAUCUCUCUUUCAGAGAACCUAGAAAGGGAAGAAGCCCCGAUCUUAAUAGGAUUAAAAGCCAGGCUCUUUCCCCCCACCCCCUUUUAUUUUAAAAAUGCUAAUUUGUUUUCCGCGUUUUGUCCUUUCUCUCCGGCUUUGUUAUUCAGGUCAUCGCCAGCAACCCGAUGAGCUGCCAGAAAGCAGCCCACAGGGAAGGCUUCUGUGAAAAGCCCCACAGCAGCGCCCUCCCCUCCACGCCGCCCCCCCCCUCCCAGGCUGUUGCAGGGAGAGGCGCUGGAGCCUUCCUCCGCGCGCGCGGGCUGCUCCGCGGUUUGUUCCGCUCGCGAAUCGGCGCGUUAAUUAAAACAGCCUGGUCCGCCUGUGACCCAUCUUAGAGAGAGAUGAACUGAUCUCGCCUCAGAAGUUGGGCUGUGAAAUUCAAGAGUCGCCUCUUGGCACCUGCCCGUCCGUAAUCUGAUUAUCUGGCAGGAUUUCCCGGGUGCUCCGCGGCUGCUGUCCGUGCAGAACGGGAAGCGGGCGGCGGGAGAGGGGGGAGGCAGAGCAGGGACUCUAAUUCACCAUGUAAUUUGUUCGGAGAUUCCUUUGAUAGGUCUGAAAGUGGAAGCAUCCUGCCGAGGACCCAGGCCUUGCAAAGGCAAGCCACUUGGUUGCCUGCGUGGGGGGAAGCGGGGGAGGGUGUGUACGAGCCCCCCCCCCCCAGCAGGGGACCCUCCCAUGAAUAGCCAUCCGCCAUCAGCAGAGCUCUUCUGUGAGAUGGCAUCUUCAUUUAAACGUUACUUUUAUUGUGGGGGUGGGAUGUUUGUCCUCAGCCCACCUCAGCCCCCCCCCCCAGCUGAAUGUCUGGGGUGUCUGGGUGGGGGAGAACAUGCAUUUCGGUGCAAGCUAUUUGUUGCAUCUCAGUCCUGCUCGGGCUUUGAGCCUCCCCAGCUAACCAGUGGAGCAGCCACUCCCGCCCCCCACGGCCCUUCCAAAGGCACAAAGGAGCAACCGAAGGAAGACUGAGCUCCACACAGCCAGGAUGAGAAAGGAUCAAAGGCAGAGAGGGAUGUUUCUAAUGCGUGUUAGUUGAGUUGUAUACAUGGUUUUCGAAGGAAAGGAACAUAAUGGAAUUUAGUUAUCUCUUCCCAACUCCAUCCCCCCCAAAAAACCCCCACUUUUCAGGCAGGGGUUCUCAGGAUUCCAGGCACAUUUUCCUUAUUUCCGAAGGGGUGUGAUUUUUGGAAGCCAUAACACAUCCUGGGUCCCCCUCCCCUUUCCCAUCCCCUUUAUUUAAUUUUUAGAUGGUUUUCCUGGUAGAUGGACAUUCCUGCAUGUGUGUGUGUGUGUGUGUGUGUGUGUGAGAGAGAGAGAGAGAGAGAGAGAGAGAGACCCUGGCCUUCCCUAUAUCAGCACAUUUUUCAAAAAAAAAAAGCAUGCACUGUGGGGUGGGAUGUGGGGUGUUUGCUUAGGGCAGGGGUCAGCAACCUUUUUCAGCUUUGGGCCUGUCCACAGUCCCUCAGGCCAUGUAGUGGGCCGGACUAUAUUUUGAAAAAAAAUAUGAACGAAUUCCUGUGCCCCACAAAUAACCCAGAGAUACAUUUUAAGCACACAUUCUACUCAUGUAAAAACACACUGAUUCCCAGAUUGUCCGCGGGCCGGAUUGAGAAGAUGAUUGGGCCGCAUCUGGCCCCCGGAUCUUAGGUUGCCUACCCCUGGCUUGGGGGUGCUCAUGCUUCCUGCCCACUGUGGGGAGCUCUGUUUCCAGGGCUUCCUCCCAGGUGUCACAUGGAUCAGGGCUGUGACAUGGGGGGGGGUGGCUUCUCAGCAGGGGGAUGAACAGCAGCCCAACUAUCUGGAAGGCAGCCGAAAGAAGGGGCCUAGGCCAGCCAAGUUGCCGCUGUUAGCAGAGGUCCCACUGCAGAGACCAGAUACCUCCAAGGUUGUGAUGCAGGUGUGGUUUUGCCAAAGGCCACCCUAGCAGCUCCAAGGGUCUUUGUGUUGCAAGCUCAAUGACCUCCUUUUUGGACCCAAAAACAUUACCUGUUUAUGCCAGGGAGGAGCUCUAGGUUGCACCUGUGUUGCCACUGGAUUAUGAAUCAAGCGAAUAUCAUUCUUCUUGAACCCCUCACCUCUGUAGGAGGUCCAUUCAAGAGCAAUGAGUGUUCCGUAAAAGGCAGAGAUUCAUAACAUCGAGAGUGACUUUGAACACCAUGUUAUGACAUUUCGAGAUUAUUAGCUUGAUUUCGUAACAUUCCUCUGCAGUCUUCAUGUACUUUGUCUCUUCCCCAACCCCCCAAGGUACCCAAGGCUGCUUGGUAUUUUGCCGCAGAAAUGCAUCCAAAGGCUUUACAGCAUCUCCGCCGUCUGCAGGAAGGAUUUUCCACUUAUCUGCCUGCAAUGGUGUAGUAGCUUUGCUAGGGGGUGGAUUCUGAAGUAUCACUUAACAUCAAUCCAUUUCCUCGAGAUUCUUGAUAACAUGGUUUGUAUUUCACCACUAAUAAAUAGGCCUGCAGGAAUGUCAAACAGGAGCCUCUCUAUUGCCCUCUCUCCCUCCCUCCCUCUCUCUUUCUCUUGGCUGAACAAUCCCCACCCUCACUUCACAAUUUGGAUGGCUUUGAGUGGACAUUUUGCUUUUCCUUCUGACUUGAGCCUCUGGAUUCUGGGGGUUCAGUUUGGAGGACUCGCCCUGUUGCUCCCCAAGGUUUGGCCACCUGCUACAGUGGUGCCUGCACCGCUGCUUCCGUGUGGGACAAACCUCUGACGUGCUCAUCGUAUAGCUACAUUGUAGACGAGCUUUCAGCUGGGAAUUUUGGUCGUAGAACCAAAGGAGAGACCUUUUCCCCUGACCACCCACUUUGAAUCCCAAGCUGCAGGACUCAGCCAAUUUAAACAACUUGCAGCUCAUCCACACUGGAGUUUAAUGUGGAUUUGGAGCUACUUGUGUGUUUAUUUUUUUGUGGCAUUCUCCUCAGCCCCCACGAAAUGCAGUGUUUUUUUUUUAUCUGAUAAAGGAAGAAAAUCCAAUAUAAAACUGCAUGUUACCUGACUGUGGAGCGCAUCGUGUGGGUGAUCACCCUCCCCCCAUGUGUGGCAGGAUUUCACUGGGUGCCGUCUACUGCCACAACUCCUAUUUCCAUUUUGUUUCCAGCAGCCAAAAUGGUUUUUUCUGCUGUUCAUUGUUGAAGCCACAUUUGCAGUGUGCCAAUUUUAAAAGCAGUUCUGCACAAAAUUGCUCUUGCACAAGGCAGCUGUAUUCAAAAUAAAAAUAAAGUGUGUCCUUGCAGGUACAGGAAGUGAGAAGGGAAAUAGGCAGGAAAGGAAGCAGCAGCCUCUCAUGUUAGCAAUUCCAAAACCUUGACUGGCUUGGAAUCUCUCUCUCUCUAACACACAUAUAUAAUCUGGUAUAUCAAAAAACCUGGUUUUAAUUUUUUUUAAAGGUGUGCAUGCACAGGUAAACAAAUGCCUGCUUGCCUGCCCAUAAUGGACCUCAGGUUUCUGAAGCACAAGUAUUUUUGUUAUUAUUCACUUUUCUGCAAAUCUAGUAGACUGAAAAACUUUUAUUUGGAACCAUUUAUUAUUUUUAAACGUUCGCAUGCAUAGAUAAACAAACACUUGCAUGCAUGCCCACAACAGACCUCAGCUUACUGGAAUUUAUGGUGGAUGGGGGGGGGGGACAGAAAGCAGCAAGACUACAAGCGGCGUCCACUCCUGUGGACGGGAAACAUCAAUACAGAUUUUGGAGGAAUAAAAUUGAAAGUGUGUGGACUAAGACACACAAGUACAGAGACAAAAACAGCUACCCAUGGAUGCCUUAGUAGGGAAGCAGCCUCAGUCCUUUUUUUUUUUACCCAGUCAAGCUCUUCCAAGUUGACUUUACUAUGUAGAGAACCAUUCACAGUCUGCCUCGGUUUGAAUAAAAACCCGCCCCUCAUCUUUGCAAAUGAACCAAAACAGUGCUCAAGAGCGAUGUGCCGCCUUAAGCCAUUUGACAGCUGUUGAAACCACAAAUAGACAAUAAGGGGAGGUAGGGUAGGUCAGUCUCAUUGUCUCAAGAAAGGGGCCAAGGGAGUUGCAUGGGUCAGGCCCCAGCCAGGGGUUGGUGGUUGGUCAGGCUGGCCCCUGCCAAGAGCAUGGGCCCAGGAGGGGUGCAAAAAUUGCACCUCUCCACUUUGUCUUGGAGUAGCUGGGAGCCUGCCCAUCUGCAUGCUCCCGAGGCCACUCCUCCACUGAUCCUGGGCGGCUGGCCGAGGCAUGCAGGCUCCUCUGGGUACCUCGUUGGAGAAACCCAGUUGCUGGCAUGUGCCAUUGCAGCUGCUAGAAGUGCAAGAGGAGUGCCCAGUGGGGCUCCAAGGGUGCAAGGGACUGGGAGGGGUGCAUAAUCUGGCAGCCUUGCCCCCACUUGUGGGACUUCAAGAUAGCACACAAGCCAGUUUGGUUCAGGGUUCAGGAAUAAUCCGAUGGGAUGCAGCCAAUAAUAAGCUUUUCAUGGACGGUCUUCCGUGUCCAGAGACAGUCUAUCUGUGAAUACCAGAUGCUGGUGACAAACAGGCUUGUGAUCUUCCAGAUGCAUCAUUGGAAAGCAGGCACCUCAUCCUGAUCCAGAAGCGUAGUUAUGGAUGCUCAUAACUAUUUCUAGCUUGAAUUUGGCCCACUGCACAGCGUGUCCUCCCAGGCAAGCAAUCUAUAUCCUCUAUGUAAAAACAAAACAAAACCCCUCUUCCCUUUGGGUGGUGAGCAAAGGCUCCCUCCUGCUGCAGCCCCUGGGAGGGUGUGGCUCGCAAGCCCCGGGGAGGUGCAUUUCCCUGUGCUGCGAUUGGCUGCCAGACAAGGCAGGUCAGAGGAGAACAGAUUCACAAGUGAAAAGACAAUUCUUGACAAGCAAGACCCAGGCUCAUAUUGGGCUUUUCUUUCUCUGGGGAAUUCAAGAGAUGAAAUGUCAAAUGAAACAAGCCCUUUUUAAUUUCUUAGAUUACAUCCAGCUUUUAAUAAUGUGGCGCCCUGGAAAUGAGAACAGAUAAUAUUUGCCUUGUAAAACAGAGCAGCCGGGUUCCUGUCAGAAGGCAAAUCGCCUCCCCAGGCUUUGUUGUGGGUUUCAGCUGACAAGUUUGCGGAUGCUCUGGUUUGUAAGCUAAUGGGAUCCAGAUGUCUAUCCAGUGAGGCAACUUUUGCACCGUUGUUCCUCCUACCCCCUCCUGCAGGAGGGACAGCUGUGGCCACAGAGAUUCUUGACACUUUCUCCACAUUUUUGAGCAUUUCAGAUCACUUUUAAGCUCCUUCCUUCCUUCCUUCCUUCCUUCCUUCCUUCCUUCUGUAUGGUGCUUAAAAAGGAGAAAGAAAGCGCAAGACAGCCAUUUGUAAUGCAGAUGAGCAUUCUGGCCAGUUUCAGGCUUUAGAUAUGCAUCUCAAACUCUGACUGAAGGAAUAACUGCUUUAAGGCUCCCAGGAUCACAUGGUGGCUUGUACAAGUAACACAUGGUGAUGCACUGAAGGUGCAUGAACAUCUUUCUCUGAUUAAAAUGAGUGGGUCUUGAGAGCUCUUCCCUUUGGCUGCAUUGUACCCCCCUCAGCCACUCUUGCUUCCUUGUAGCAUACACAGACACAGGGCAAGGCCAAAGACAUCACUGAGGGCCAAACAGCAUGGGAGAGAGGCCCACUGCUCUGUCCUCUCUCAAAGUACUUUGUCCUGCUGCUCACAGUACUUUGGCCCCAUGGCCCUUUGCAUCUCAGCUGAAAUACCAGAAGUGGCUCUAACUGGGAGAAAAGUUCCCAGAGAGCAGGACUGGGGACAGAAAUGGAUGAGAUGAAAAUAUGGGUCUGAACCCCCACCCCCUGGCCCUUUAAACAGCACCCUCCCACCCAAAAACAUGCACACCUGCUUUCAACCUGCACUUGAAGACCUGGUCUUGUCCCUCUCAAGGGUUGUUUGGGCCUGAUCCUAGCUGGAGUUCCACAUGGAGCCUGGGAAAUUGUCCCUCCAGCAAGAGGACGGAGAUGGGAGCUGCCUGAGUUCCAACUGCCCAGCUUCCUAGAGGAGUCUGCUUUCUUUCUUUCACUCUUGGAGAAACCUGUUACUCAGUGGGCAAUAAAACUGAAAAUAAAGAUCAGAGCCAGUGGAAAUGUCAUAAUGGCAGGGGGUAGAAGCAUUAGACGUUGCCCAUAAAAUGUGAGAGAUUUAGACGUUUGCACCCCAUUAUUGCGCCAGAGGUCGGCUUUCUUUCUUUCUCCACCCCCCUUCUUCUCCUUCACCUUUUCCUGGUGGCAGGCUGCUUCUGCUACCCCCCCCCUUCUGACGCACCCCUUUCCAUUUACUGCCCAUAGUGAUAGAUUUAUAUUUUUGCUAUGCUUCCCUCCCCAUUUUUUGGAACUUAAUCAGCAGCAUAUAUUCUCCCUAACUCUGUUCCCAAACUACAGAACCACCUGGGUUAGAUUCCCUCCUGCCUGCCCACCCUCACCCCCGUUAACACUAUUGGUCUGAUUUGUACAUGUGACAUUUAGGUGGAUUUAGCCUACAACAGGUUCAUAUUUUAGAUAGCUCUAUUUUCCCCCAGCUCCCUUUGCGUUGGCCUCCACCCUCCACCAAACAUUUUCUCCUUUGCUGUUGUCCAGAAAACCUUCUCCUUCACCCCAUUUCACUGAGGAGAUUGCCUUGCCUGAGAGGAGGUAAGCCCAAAUCCACAAAUCCACAGUGAAAUGAGUCUUUUGUAGGCUCUGCCUAGAGAGAUGCUAUAAUAAUAAUAAUAAUAAUAAUAAUAAUAAUAAUAAUAAUAUUUAUACCCCGCCCAUCUGGCUGUGUUUCCCCAGCCACUCUGGGCGGCUUCCAACCAAAUAUUAAAAACAAUACAGCAUCAGACAUUAAAACUUUCCUAAACAGGGCUGCCUCCUAAUAGUUAGGGAGAAGGCACCAAACACCCUUUUCAAUACAAAAACCUAUUUGUGGGUCAAAAAAUUUAAAGCGUCCAUGAUAACAAAACCCAAAUGUUUGGGACUGAGCCAAAAAAUUAGAUUCAGAUUAAAAAACAAACAAAAAUUCAGAUUCAGUGCAAAUUCAUGUUUUCAUUUGAGUGUGGGAAUAUCCACAACCAGUGCUUUUUUUCUUUAAAAAAAAUGUUUAGGGAUAGUCUCAUUUUGACUCAAGAAAAUCACCAUUUUAUAGUUCAAAUCAGGAAAAAUAAAUACAGUAAAUGGACAAAAGUUCAUAAAAUGAUUAGGGGUAUGCGUACCCCUGUGUCCCCCCCCCCGAAAAAAGCACUGUCCACAACCAAAUCCUAACCAUUGCAUGGGGCAGCCAGAUGGAUGUGACUUGGCUCUAUCAAAAUCACAUCACUGUGAAAACAGAUGGGUAGUUUUAGAGUUUCUUUCCUUCAAGUUCAGCCCAACUUUUCUUCCUUUUUACAUCUUUUCACCACAACCUAUUUCCCACUCUCCCCACACACACUCAAUUUGCAAUUGAAAUAACCCGAGACUCUUCCGAGAGAAGCUGAAGAUAUUAACUAUGAAAUUCUGAAACAAGAGCUAUAUCGUCGGCUUCCCAUGAAAUGAGAAAUAUGUUCUCUUCAGCCAACUACAUUUGACAGGAGGCUUUUGAAAUUAACUCUAUGCUCAGAUGAUCACUUUCCUACUGUAAUUAUCAAGUGCAGUAAUUCAUAAUAGGAGGUGUGUGAGUACAUCAUGCUUUCUUCAACACAUAACACACAUCUCCACCACCAAUUCAGAAAGCAAAAGGGCCCACUUAAAACAAGCAGCCUCUCCAAGGGCAUGUGUGUGUUUGUGUGUGCAUGCGCCAGUGAGUGAGGUUUGCAUUCUCAUUCUCUCCAGACAAACCAUCUGCUUACAUAUGGAUGAAGUCACUUUUUGAAACACCUUUCCUCCACCUCUCUGGAGAACAAUAAUCACAUAUUCUCCCCGCUUUCGGACAUGUCUGGGGAAGGCAGAAAAAUGGAUGGCAGGCAGGCAAAAGUCCCACCGGUGGAGAGCUCCACAAUAGGCCCUUGGAAGUAACUGAAGAUAACUUGUAUUUUGAGUCUCAACUUCAGGCAUGGUCAGGAGGGAGAGAAGUUAAUGUUGUGAUGAUAUCACACGAGCCCCUGUUACAUAUCCAUGGAUCUAGGCCCAGGGGAUAUUCCUCUGGCUUUUCUUUCUUUGGGUCUCUCCUCUAAUUCUUGCUCAAGGCUAUUGAAGCAAUUGGCUCUAAGCUCCAUGAAAUUUGUUUUUAUGGUCUUCUAGUUGUGUUUGUUCUGAUCUGAAUUUUCUGCGUGUGCAAUUGCCACAUGAGCACCUGUACCCCUGUGUUGUUUCGGUUUUGAUAGUCACAAUUACAGUGGUACCUUGGGUUACAUACGCUUCAGGUUACAUACGCUUUAGGUUACAGACUCCGCUAACCCAGAAAUAUUACCACGGGUGUAGAACUUUGCUUCAGGAUGAGAACAGAAAUUGUGCUCCGGCAGCGCGGUGGCAGCAGGAGGCCCCAUUAGCUAAAGUGGUGCUUCAGGUUAAGAACAGUUUCAGGUUAAGAAUGGACCUCCGGAACGAAUUAAGUACUUAACCCGAGGUACCACUGUAUUCCAUCAUUUGCUAUUCACACGAGAAGGUGGAGGCCAGGGUUGCUAACAGGGAAGUAAAAGGGGUUCACAUGUACUAAGGCCCAUGCCAGCAGGGGGGUUCAUACUCUUAUCAUUCCUUAGGGGGUAAAAUAGGUAAACUGGAAAUUUCUAAAGGAAGUUAUAAAUCAAAAUGUGGAGAUGGCUCUAAGGCUUUGGUACUUGACAGACAUUGCCACUGCUAAGCAGUCUUAAUGUUGAUAUUACAACCCCCCCUUUUUUUUCCUGGCCUGCUUGUCAUCACUGGGCUGUUAUUUAUUAAUAUACUUUAACCAUAAAGCAAAAAUAGAAAAUUUUGAUACACCUUACAGCUGCAGCAAGUUAAAAUCCCUAUGAGGUGCUCUGGACCCCUAGAGAGCUGCUGCCCUUCAGUGUAGACAACAUGGAGUUGGAUGAACCUAUUUGUUUGACUUGGUCUAAGGCAGCCCCUCAUGUUCCUCCAGACUCAACUACAGCAUCUCCUGCCUGCCUGCUCUUAUCUGCUCCAGCCACAUGCAUCUAUUCUCCCUUACAGAGGCAGCUUCAGUUCUGACUGUGGGCUUCACUGUUGUUCUCCUUUGGACUGUCCUUAACACAAUCAAUAAAAACAGGAAUGAAAACAAUUUCAAGAAGACCUUCUCAACAUGGAACAGCCCAGCCAGAGAAGGAGAGCCUUAAGUAAUUGACUGACAAAGUGAGUGAAAUUUAGGUGCCCAGAAACAAGGUUUCCAUUUUGGAAGAAGUGGGAGCACAGGAAAUGACUCUUCUGCCAUGAAAACAUUCAAGUCUUUUCCCUUUCAUGCCUUGGCCUGAGAAUGGUACCAAAUGAGGAGUGGCUAUUAAAUGGAUCUACAUGUAAGCAUUCCAAACAAUUUUCUUAUCUUCUCAUCUGAGAAAUGGGUGGCUUUUCUCAGCUUUUUAUGAUUCCAUGUUAUGAUGUGCCUUCUCCCAGGGGGAAGGCAAUUUCUCUUUUCUAGAGCAGAUAUUACAGCCAUAGCCUUAAAAAAAAAAGCCUUUAAAAACUGGUGCUCUCUUUUGCAGAGGGAGGAUGGCACACUGGCACCCAAAGGCUUUACACAUUAUACUCCAAGACAGAAGCGGGAAAGGAAGGGAGCAAUAGAGAAAUAGAGCUGUUUUUGGUGCAUUUAAGUGCUAUUUAUCAGAGGAGAAUUGAAAGCAAUACUAUUAAGCACUGUUUUUGUUAACUUGAAGAAGUAAAAGGGGGAGAUUGGCCAGUCCUGUUCUGCCUUUUUGUUAACCAGGCAAAGUAAAGAAAUAGCCACAAAACCUUUAGAAGCAUUCAAGUACCUUACUGACUUUCAUCAGAUGUUUGCUGCAAAAAAGAAAAAAAGGGAGGGGGAAUCGUUCUAUCUUUUUAUUUUUGCUUUGCUUUAAUCUUAUUUGAUGAUGUCUCAACAGGCUGGGGCAUGCUUUCUCGGAUGGCAAUUUCACCGCACCAUAUGUGUCUCUCACAAGAUAGCAGAGUGAAAUGAGUCUUGGCAGGAAGAGAACUAAACAUAUCGACAAAGAAAAGGAAAAAAAAUUAUUUACUUAACUCCCUCUUGCCUGCCUGCAUUUCCUUCCCUUCAGCUGCUUCUGCUCCCAGUCAGCCGGGUAAAGAUACAGGCCCGGCUACAGCUUUGCUUUGCAGCCAUCUUUGUUAGUUUUAAUCUCAAACACUUGCCACAAGGCAGCAUAUCAGCUCGACUGAGGAGAGCUUGCGCUGUCCCAGAAUACCCAGGAGGCAGUUGAGCACAAUUCGGCCCUACAGCACCUCUUUGUUGCCACCCUUCCCAGUAAUGAGUCUUUCCCCCAAGAAUCCUUCUCCAUCCCUAAACUCUGGAAUACAUGAGAGGUACUCUGGGAAACUCUGAGAUGCUUGGUUUGCUGUCCAUUUCCCAGAUGUAAAAACUAGACCUCCUGAAUCAGUCAGUUACAGAUUUCUCAGAGUCCAAACAUUCUAAGGAAGAGCUCCUGUUAUACCAUAGUAGCCAAAGACCAUGUCCUCUGGUCUUGUGAUGUUGUUCGUGAGGAGAGUCUGCCUUGAGGCUGCCUGUGAUGGCGCUUUACUCUGAAGUGCAUCAAUCACCCAGUGGGGUCCUUAAUUUCUGCUUCCAGUUCUCAGCAGACAGGGGGUUAAUGGAGCGCGUGCGCUAAGGCGGGGGUGGUGCAAGGUCACUCGGAUCUGCUUGUGCCUCACACUUGCAAGGGCUUUGAAAAGUGGAAUUCAUUUCUGUUUACAGCCAUGUCACAGCCAUUUGAAUCAUACGUAUUUGUAUGAGCUGGAUAUUUAGGAAGCAAAUUGAGGCUCACUCGUGCAUAUGUAGGAGAAUUCUGUAAAGGGCUGAGUAUUUUCCAAGCUAGAUUUAUCCAUAACAUAUAGGAAAACCUUGACUAGGCCUAUAAUUAAAAGUACUCAUCUUUUUCUUUUCUAACCAUGUGAAACAAUGGUUGAUCUUCAAGGAAUCCCAUCUCAAUUAGCAAAUGAGUGUUUCACUAGCACUUAGAAGCUACAGAGUGCCUUAAUCUGCCUCAGGACGAUGGCAGAGGACCAAGAAGCCUGGGAUGUGCUUUGCGGUGGUUUUGAAAACCCUUGAAAGCUUUGCGGAGAAGGAUAGUUAGAGCAGUCCUGGGUGUGGCAAGAAAGACCAUUGGGGGCUCAGGGCUGCUGCUGGAUGCAGGCUGGAGAAAUGCCUCUUUGAGCAGGUUUAUUGAAUAAUAAUAAUCUUUGCUAGGAGGGCAGCCCUUUGUCACUUUCCCAAAUAAGGCUCUUAAAUAUGCAUGUAUGCAACAUUUAGGCUUUCCAUUUUUCUUCAUUACAGAAAGUAAUAUUACUUUUCUCUGUGUUAUUUCUAAACUCAGACGUAGCUUUUUCCAUGCCUGACAUUUAAGCAGUCGCACAUUACCUACUCCAGGGUGCCUGAAAGCAACUUUCCCCAACCCAGCAUCAUAUGGUCAUUCUGUUUUGGGGUGCUGGAGUUUGUAGUCCAAAAUCUCUGGAAGGAACCAGGUUGGGAAAGGCUAUCUUAAAUGAUUGUCUAGUGUCACCUUGCAGAACCUGGUGCAGUUGUAUGUGUAAGCGUGACUAAAAGCCUUUCCGGAAUUCACUCAGAUUGCAAAGAGAGAUUUUCUUGCAUUGGUUUGGCAGUGUUCUAUGUGCUAUCAGAGCACUCAAAGUGCAUUAUGUUGGGAGCGAAAGAGAUGUGACAAGCAAUGAAACAAAACAGAAAAUGCCCAGUUUCCACGAGUGCUAAUAAAUCUCAGGAAAAAGCCACUUCCAGAAAUGAACUCAAAUGUACACAAUCCCAUUGUACUAUUUACCCUCUGUACCUGAUCCCUGCCACAAAGUUCCCAGAGUUCAAGAAGGUGCUUUGGCUUGAAGCUUGUUCCAGGAGCCUGAAACCGGGCUGUAGGAUGAGGGCAUUUGUAAGUGCCACCUGUGCCACUUGGACAAAUUCUGCCUAUCUGCAGAUCUGCAGGGGGACACAGUGCAUAGAUUUUAUAUACCUGUAUGGGGGUAUAUGUUAAAGUCACUUUCAUUUUGGAGAGGAGGCAACUUAUGAACAUUUUAAAUAGUAAUGCACUUAAAAAAAUCUGGCAAUAUAUAUUUUAUAUUUUUACUCUAAGAAGAGAAAAUUUCCAUUAUUUGCUGUGAAUGAAUCCUUCAGGUUUGUUAUGCCAAGGUAUAUUUCAGGGUGUAAAAUGUGCUUUUAGGCAAAAAAAAAUAUCUCUCUAAACAGUGACAAGUACAGUGGUAGCAACUUUGUACUCUGUUAAUGAUUGCUCGACGUAAAGAUUUAUCUGUAUUAUCUCCUGCUGUGCAGUUCCUUGGACAUCAUAGGGAACUGCAAUGUACAAAAGCGGGAGAGGUUGUUUGGGGGGAGGGGUCCUGCUGCAGAGUCACAGCUUGUUGGAUCGCUGAGGUUGCUGGAUUUUACCCUACAAAGAGAUGACUUUACAAAAGGGACUUCCGAUCUAGUGGGGCUGCGUUUGUUCUUUCUGUUCCUGAUCGCCCCCGCCCCGCGCGCGCUCCGCCUGCCUCUGGCUUUUCCUUUUCGUAUGAUAAAGUUCUUAAUCACCUGUUCUCUCUGCAAAAGUCUGCAUGGGUACACAGAGAGACAGACAGACAUCAGCCAUGGGAAUGGGAAUGCAUUAGCCCAGAGGAACAAUUCGCUGGGGAGAGGGCGGGAUUAGGGGGUGCUUUGCUUUGCCUAUCAGCCUGAUUAUCAUUCGCAUUGCAGGAUAAAAGCGUCGGAAGUGAUGAUGCCAUCGAAGAGGCAUUACCAGAUUCUUGGUUCGAGACAUUUGCGAAAGUGAGAGAGAUCACUUUGCAAAGUGCUGGAACUUGAAUGGCAGGCAUGAAAGGUUUCUUUCCGCUGGGGGUGCAUUCCUUGGAAAGCCACAGCCCUCUCCACAGGGCAGGGAAAGGCAACACCUUCGCUUCCGAGCACUUUAAUAGCCACACACUCUUGCGGUGUGAUACCCCCACGUCUGCCAAGCACAUGGUUACGGCAGCCUGUGCGUUUGUUUCUGAGUGUUCAGUGGACCGGGGGGGUUUGAGCCUUUCUUCCUUUCAUUCAGCGAGGCAGAGUUCCCAUGCUGAGGAGAGGCAGCUCUCAGGCUCUGAAAAAUUGCAUUUAAAUCAAGGAAAUGCAAAAGAUUCGUGGAAAAACCCGGCUGCUGUCACGGGGGGGGGGGUGACUUGCUGGUGUCCAGCGGUUUUCUGCUUGUUUUCGUCAUUGCAACUUGACCCGUGGCUUAGGAGGAGGGAGCUCUGGCGAAAAUGCCGAAAAUAAUGAUUUGGAUCGAGGCUGAGUUAGAUGAACUUUGGUCUCAUUGAAAAGUGGGGGAUAAGUUGACCACAAUUUACAGCACCGUUGAUUCCAAGGGCUACGAAGCGCAACUAACCCAAUGUAAAUUGGGAGGGGGAGAAUCACUAAAUGAGACAGGAAUGGGUUUUCUUGUGGGGUGGGGGGCUUGUCACAAAUGUGACUGUCAUACAGCUGACCAGAGCGUUGCAAUAGGGUGUGCUGGGUUUGGGAUGGGGGAGGAAGAGGUGUUAACAUUUCCCCAGUAACAAAAUAUUGCAUGUUUUGAAUUCUGGGGAAAUGCCAUUUCCUUGUCAUCGCUGAGUAACCACGGUGCAUUCAGCACACAAAAGGGGGGAGAGGCACCAUUGUGUCACGCUGAAAGUGGCUCAUUUAAAACAGCCUAAAUUUGAACAAGUUGGAAAGGUUACAAGCUGCCUUAGUGAGGACACGGCUGUUUCUUCAGUCAAAAGCUCUUCAGGUUUGACUGGGAGAGGGAUGUUUAAAUAAUCAGAAUUAUUCUGACAUUUUCUUUUGCCUUGCCACCAUUAGUUACAUGCUAGGUAAAAAAUAAUAUCCUGCAGCUAUUUAUUCAUGAAAUAUUUUAAAUAAAGGCCAGAUUCAUUUUCCAGUGAAUUUUGCCAAAUUCCUUAGCCAUUUAUUAGUGACUGUUUCUGCUAAUUACUUAAAUAUUCGUUGCAAAUCAAUGUAAUAUUCAUUACUUUGAGGGAAAAUGUUUCAGAAGAGCUUUGCAAGAAAUGACAAUUUCUCCUAGUGUGGUCUCUGCAAAAUUUGGUGUCAUUUCCUGUAUUAACACAGAAUCAGUCAAUUCUCCAGAGAGGAGGAGGCAAGGUGGUAAAACUAGGAUAAAAGCUUGAUAAUUCAAGCAAGUACUCUGCAAAAAAAAAAAAAAAAAAAGUAGCAUCCUUUUGGCUUGUGGAAAAAUUGAAACAGCAAAUCUCAGUGAGCACCUGGGAAGAAUCUGCGCAAAUACUAAUAUAUCAGUACAUGGAUUAAAACACCAAAACGGUCAGAUAGUCCCUGCUGCAUUUUUAUUAUUAUUUUGGACUAAUUAGAGUAUUGUAUUUGUUCUGCUGUGCCGACUGCUAUAAACGUCACCUUUUGUAAUUGUAACAAUUAGGAUUUUAACAUUUUAACCAAUUCUCUCUUAGGCACUGCCUGGACAUUAUCGUGUCCCCCAAACCAGUUGAUGGGUCUCAGAUUUAUUAUUAUUUUUUUCCUCUGAAAGAGAAAGAAUUUGCCUUCCUCCUCCUCCCUUCACGCAGAAUAGAAGCAACAGCAGCCAAAAGAUACCCAAAUGCCCGGCCUUGGAUCUGGCUGGGGGAACGGAGAUUGCAACGGCAAAGGCAGUUGUUGGCGGCGGGGGGGCGGGGGAGAGCCGGCAGCCUCUGGAAUUUGGCUGCGUUUGCAGCCUUGAUUUCCAGGGGGCCUGUGCCAGCCACGUGGCUUUGCUUUGGCUCUGCCUAAUCUCCAGUCCCGAGACAUAUAGUCACCCCCCCCCCACCGGGGCAGGGGGCAGUCAGCAGCCAUCUGUGCCAUCCCAGGCAGGCCUCGUCCUGCAGCCACGUUCAAGUCCAGUGUCCGAGCUGUCCUGGGAAGUUUAUCGUCCACUCCAUCAAAGGGUCUAAUGGUCAGGAGAGAGGUCUUGAUGGGUCCCUGGUGACCCGGCAUUAACAGAGUGGACUUGUUUAAGUGUUACGGAGGGUGUCUCCGAACGAUCCCGACGCCAAUCCCCGUUUCCUUCAAUGAGCGCUCAUUUGGGUCAUGGCUCAAUAGGACUCUCUCUCUGCUGACCUGGCCGAGCCUGGAAGGGCUCCUCCGGGGGCUGCCCUCCCCUCGGUGACCAGCAGACAGAAGGGCGGAUCAAUGCCCUCUGACAACAAACGAAACAAUCGCCUCCCCCCUCCGCCCCCCUCCCGCUCCUUCUGUCCAAGUAGCUUGGAAACGAUCAAGAUAAAUGGUUGGGUCUGAACCUGGAGACUCCAGACCGAAGGAGCCCGAGGGCAGGCAAAUCCAAUUGGCUUUUGCAUAACGAAAAUGUGAGGUUUAGGGAGUCAAUGUAGUGCAAGAUUAAUCCAGAUUAAACUGUUUGGCGGCACUCACUCGGCUGUUCCCCCUUUUGUCCCCUGGAACGGCUGGGGGUGUGUGUGUGUUCCUUCGGCUGCUCAUCUGAAUAUGUGUGUUGUGUGUGUGUAAAGCAGAAAAGGUGUAGCAGGAGGUAUUGAAGCAGUACACACUAAUAAUAAUAAUAAUCAUCAUCAUCAUCAUCAUCAUCACAUUUUAUUAUUACCUUUUAACAGUGCAUUUAAAUUUCCCCCCAUAAAAAAUAGGUUUUUUUUUGUUCCCCCCUUUCCCUCCUUCUUUAAGAAAUUACAUUUGAAGUAUUUUCCUUUCCCCCACCAGGAUAGGAGCAGCUGUUUCCUUAUGGAGAACUGUUCAAAGCGUAUACCUGUAAGUUUGUUCCUUGCUAUUCCACACUGUACAGUAAUAAUAAUUUCAUUUCUCAUACAAAUUUUAUUAAUUGUCAGAUAGCUGUAUCAAUUCUCUCUUGAAUAUUUUUGUUGCACAGUAUUUAUUUUCUAUUUUGUUUUUUGCACCUAAAUUUGAAAAUAGAAUAUUUCCCUCCUCUGUUCUCCUCUCUCUGCUGAUCCUGCACAUUUAAUAUUUUGGGUAAAAUUCAUACAAAAAUGUAAUCCCUUCUUGGCAAGGGAUUUCAAGAGAUAAUUGAAACAGUUUUCUCUAAAAAAUGUAUAUAUUAUGAAAUAAAGUUUAAGAAAAAUAACUGCAUGGAAGCCUUGUUUUAAAUAUGCUGACAGGCAUCAAACAUGUUUCUAAACCCAACAUCCUAUGAGGAAAGAACGUGGAAAUAAAUUGCAGAGAAAAAGAGCCAAAUAAUUUUGAUAUUUAAGCUAGUAUUUUAGCAAAUGUUUCAUAUAUGAAUUGGUUUGAAUAUGUGUGGG